RNAcentral lists this long non-coding RNA (51346 nucleotides) under Eucalyptus grandis. RNAcentral's name for it is "long non-coding RNA (EGRA_LNC002863)". The record is from RNAcentral. Lineage: Eukaryota; Viridiplantae; Streptophyta; Magnoliopsida; Myrtales; Myrtaceae.
AGCACCGGCAGCAGCGGCACCGAGCUCGCCGAGCUGCUGGAGGUGCUUGUGGUGCUUCUCCUCCUUCCUGUAAUCGACCGUAGGCUCCGUGAAGAUGACCCCAGGCUCUGUGAAGGCAUCAUCCUUCUUGUGGUGGCUGCGGUGGUGGUUGUGGUGGUGGUGAUGGUGGUGUCCUUCGGCCAUGGUUGGUGGUUGUUUUUUUUUUUGAGGAAUACUAGAAUUGACGAAGGAUCAGUGAAAGGACUAUAGCUGAAGUGUAUGGUAUGCGUUGUGAGACCGUUAGAGAGGGAGGGGUGUAUUUAUAGGGAAAGUUGGCACAUGCAAAGUCUCGCAUCCAAUCGGGCCAACGCGGGAGGCCUUAAACGCGUGAUGGACGGUCGGGAUUGCUUAGUCUGGUUCUGCUCGAUGCAUUUUUGUCUUCUUUCGAUAAAGCAGUUGGUUGUAUGUCAAAUAAAAGCAAAAAUAAAAUAAAAUUAGGGGAUGAUCUUUUUCUUUUUUCUUUUUUUUGGGGGGUUCUAGUUGAGGGAUUUUUGGGAGGACAAAUUCAUUAGAGAACAAUGCUCUAACAAUACCAUAUACUUGACAAUGAUGUUUUUAUCGUUUCCCUUUGAUUUGUCUGAUGAUAAUUUCUUAGUCUUGAGCGUGAAUUGCAAGAUUUGUUUAGUAAUGUAAUUGUAAGGGUCCAAAGUCUAAGAUGAGACUUUUUGGUGGAGGUGGGUGGUUUUAACUUAUUGAUUAAGUAAUCGCAUCACAUGAAUGCNNNNNNNNNNNNNNNNNNNNNNNNNNNNNNNNNNNNNNNNNNNNNNNNNNNNNNNNNNNNNNNNNNNNNNNNNNNNNNNNNNNNNNNNNNNNNNNNNNNNAAGAGGCUAGACUCAAGCAUAUAAAUUAAUAGUCAUUAAUGUAUGUAGAACUUAGAAGCUAUUAAAAUUGAAACAAUAUUUACCAAUGCUUUUGCUCGUCUCAAAGUGCCUUGAUUCAAGUUUUAAUGUUUGGGAAAUGACAAAAUCUUUAUGACAAAACAGAGUGUUGUUGAUAUUGAAUGCAUGCUAAUCUUUUAGGUUGAACAAGUUAGUCUUGAAAACGGGCUACAUCAAAGAGAGAGAGAAAGAAAGAAAGAAAGGAGCUAUUUCCCUCCAAUGAUGGUAAUUUUAUUGACAACUUCUAUAUGAUGUAAGAGAUAUAACUUUUGUGGAAUUAAAGACACUAUAUUGAACCUUUUUCAGGAUAUAUAAAUGGGCAAGCCAUCAUAUAUCGCUUGAUUUGGGACAAUAUAGAUUAUUAAUUAUGUCAUUUUGUGAGUUCAUUUCAAAUUGGGUUAAUUGACUCAACCAUAUUUGAAAGAACUAACUUGGAAAAAAAAUCACGAUAAUGGACGAUGAUAAUGACAUGCACCUAACACAUAGAUCCCACCAAAUUAGUAGAAACUGUCAAUGUGCUUAGUGAGGUUACGAUGAAGAUAUCGCAAUGCACUAUUAUUUGAUAAAUUUGCUAAUUUGUACGUGUCCUCAUGGGAGGACCCAAAACAUCAAUUCUUAGAAACGCUUAUAUACUAUUAUAUCAUGUACUGCUUUUUUACGUACUUUUUGAAUUAUAAUUAUAUAUAACAUUGCGAUCAAGUGAUUUUUUUGAAUUUGACGCCAUCGCGUUUUAGUUAAUUGACAAUGACUGACCGGGUGUGGAUCCAUCGUAUGCGGAGACUGUGUGCUAAUGGGUGAAAAUAAUAUUAAAUAUAAUCAUUGUACCUAAAACAAUAUGUGGAAAUGUAAACGCAAGAAAUCAGAUCAUCAGAACAACCAAGAUACAACCUGUACAAGACAAAGCCCGAACCCAUGCUCAUCCUCUCAGGGAAGCAUUCACAAGCAGCAGAAUUCAAGAUUCAAGAACCACCCUCCGCAAAUGUACAGCGUGUCAGCGACUAUUGAAGGCAGUCUCUAAGGAAAUAAAAUUACAUAAACAAGACAGAUAGCAGCAAAAAGAGAUGGAGAUCCUCCAUGGUUUAGAAGUGAUGGUGGUGCUUCUUGCCAUGAUGAGACUCUUUAUAUUUUUUCUUGGCCUCCUUCCUCUCGUGGUGCUCGUGGGUGGCAAACCCGACAGCCCCGACGGCAGCGGCGGCAGCUAUUUCCUCCUUUAUCUUGUGCCGGUGAGCGUGCUCCGGGUCCUUCUUGGCCUUAUGCUUCUCAUGCUGCAUUUUGCACAUUAUUAAUCAGCAAUGGCGUUCACGAAACAAAAUGAGUUAAGGUAAAGAGGAAAGGAGCCAAAAAAAAAAAAAAUCUCUAUUAUGUAUACUUUGUUUAAUACAAGCUCUAAGCAUGGGAUAAGUUCGAGAAAAAAGAAAUUAAUUUAUUCACCUUGAAAAGAAGUAUUUGAUCAGGUAAAUAGUGCUAUGGAUUACAAUUAUGUUUUUUGUUAUUGUAGGGAAAUCUUACUCCUCUAGCUGUUGGGUGAAGGAAAUCAAUUAAAUUCAAACUAUUGUUCAUUUAUAAGGAUGAUCCAUUCUCACAUGGCAUGCCAUUAUCAUGUCGAGUUGAAAUAUGUGACUUUAAUCGAGAUCUUUUGCAUUCAAUGCUCGUUAAUAACCCGAUGAUUCAGGUCAAUAAGGUGAAAACACAAAUUUUAUCCAAAUUAUAAAAUGGGAAAAUAAUUGAAAAGAAUUGAAAAGAAGAUGAUAAUUAUUACCAAGGCAUAAGCACCGGCAGCAGCGGCACCGAGCUCGCCGAGCUGCUGGAGGUGCUUGUGGUGCUUCUCCUCCUUCCUGUAAUCGACCGUAGGCUCCGUGAAGAUGACCCCAGGCUCUGUGAAGGCAUCAUCCUUCUUGUGGUGGCUGCGGUGGUGGUUGUGGUGGUGGUGAUGGUGGUGUCCUUCGGCCAUGGUUGGUGGUUGUUUUUUUUUUUGAGGAAUACUAGAAUUGACGAAGGAUCAGUGAAAGGACUAUAGCUGAAGUGUAUGGUAUGCGUUGUGAGACCGUUAGAGAGGGAGGGGUGUAUUUAUAGGGAAAGUUGGCACAUGCAAAGUCUCGCAUCCAAUCGGGCCAACGCGGGAGGCCUUAAACGCGUGAUGGACGGUCGGGAUUGCUUAGUCUGGUUCUGCUCGAUGCAUUUUUGUCUUCUUUCGAUAAAGCAGUUGGUUGUAUGUCAAAUAAAAGCAAAAAUAAAAUAAAAUUAGGGGAUGAUCUUUUUCUUUUUUCUUUUUUUUGGGGGGUUCUAGUUGAGGGAUUUUUGGGAGGACAAAUUCAUUAGAGAACAAUGCUCUAACAAUACCAUAUACUUGACAAUGAUGUUUUUAUCGUUUCCCUUUGAUUUGUCUGAUGAUAAUUUCUUAGUCUUGAGCGUGAAUUGCAAGAUUUGUUUAGUAAUGUAAUUGUAAGGGUCCAAAGUCUAAGAUGAGACCUUUUGGUGGAGGUGGGUGGUUUUAACUUAUUGAUUAAGUAAUCGCAUCACAUGAAUGUGCUCUAUGGGUCGUCCCGUGGUUUCAUACCGACUCGUUUUUGCAAAAGUGAUUGUCUCUUUUUUUAUGCUUUAAGAAUAAGAGAAUACGUUAAUUUUUCCAUCACCGUACUUCCGUUUUUCUUUUGUUUUCUUUUCCUACUAUACUCUUAGAUUGUUUGUAAGAGGCAUGGCAUUAUAUCCCUAUUAAUUUUCAAGGGACGAAACCCGAAUUUAAUUAAAUAGUAGAACUAGUUCGUAUAUGCUCCAUCAAUGCAUUUAGUGGAACCCCUUCAUUUUAGAAUUGGUUGACAUACCUAUAUACAUAUAAAAUUAAUGGGGUAGUUAUUAUCGGGUGUCAAUUAGAAGGUAGACAUCAAUAAAACAUAUAUAAAUGAAUAAAGAAGUAAAAUUAAAAAUUCAAGGACUAUAUCACCCAUUGCAUAUUAUCCGAAGCAUCCAAGUACUAACACUCUUUGCCUAUGAUUUGAAAGCAGGCUGUACAUCUUUAUUUCCAGUGGUAAAUAUCAAAGCUCGUUUGAGAUGACGCCCUUUUUGGCCUUGGUUCUCUCAUACUUUGAAUGCAUGUCUCCACCCAUAUAUACUUUGAAAAACAACCGUAUCAAGACUUUCCAUUGUUUCUAUAGGAUUCCAAACACCAUUAUCUACGACCAAAAUCAAGACUGGGCAUGUUCUAACCAGGUUGGCAAGACCAAUAAAAAAAAAAAACCAAGAAAGAAUUGAAAUUCAAGCGCAACUCGAAGAUCUCCGGAAGCUUCGAAGGUUGCCAUGGAGGAAAGGCAAUUGGCUAUGGCUCGCCUCAGCAGCUCGGGCAGCUUCUUCAUUGAGGACGAUCUUGACCUCGAAACGCCCCAAAGUUACUGGUCCCGUUAUCACCGGCGCCGAAUUGCCGGUGUCUCGAGAUGCUAAUAUGGUCGUAGGAUGCAUGGUUGAAAGCCCGACAUGUCUAGCUUCGAUGAAUCAAGUUUCCCUGCAAUUUGGAAGUCCUUUGAAGGAAAUUAUGACCGAAGUACCAAGAGGAGGAAAUCUGGGAUAUUGUUAAGUUUCGGUAUAGUACGAUGCAGGCUAAGCCAGUGGUACGGCCAGGCAUGAGUAGUCUAUUCGCAGCGUGGUCGGGCUGGUAGGACGGCCAUGUUGCGGGCUGGUUGCAUGAAUUUAUUGGCAUAAAUACUACCAUUAUCUUUUCAUAAUGAAAUACACAGAUAAUGAUUUCAAGUUCUUAUUUCAAAUCAAUUUUACAAAGUACAGUCGAAUUAUGAGGACAAAUUAUAUAAAAAGUCAUAAAUUUAUUGCAUUUUGAUCAAUUCAAUUACAAUCAUUUUAAUUGUGUGAAUUGAGUUCUAAACAUUUUUAUAUGUUACCAAUUAAGUUUAUCCGGCUAAAUUUAAUCGGAAAUAACUAACAUGGACACCAAUAAUGCUAUAUAGAACGGUUGGGGUUGAUGUGACCAAUUUUUUUAUAAUUUUUCUACUUUGUUUAUUUUUCCUUUUUUUCCUACCAAGUCCGACAAGGAUCGCCAACUAACCCUUGCCAGCCAAAAGGCAAGGGCUGGGCGACCCCUAUUGGCGGCUGGGUGAGGGCUUCAUGGUUGGCAAGGAUUGGCCAGCAGCUCUUUUGUUAGGCUUAGGAGGGAGAAAAAAAAGAAAAAAACAAAGAAAGUUGAUCGAUUAAUACAUAUACAUGGAUGCCUGUGUGAAUUAUGCGAAACCAAGAGGCUGUUUUGUUUGACGUUCACCAAAUUAGUCAUAUUCAACUUUCUUUUUAACCAAAAUAAAAGAACCUUCCAAUAUCUUAUAAAAACUUUUGAAAGAUUUGAGGUGACGUAUGGUGACAUGAAGAUUUUUCUAAAAAAAAAUUGAACGCGUUUUGACAUUACAAUUCCAUGUUUUUGUCUUCUAUGGUUUUAUCAGGGGCACGUGCACUCCUCUUGAAUUCGCGUGUCGGUUUUUGGUGCCUUCGCGUUCGCAUGUAAAAUGCAUACUCGGAUGACGGCGAGUCUUCGCCGCGUCGGCGACUUCGUCUUUGUCAACAAAACCAAAAUGAACUUUCCGACGAUGGCGUGUCUUCGCCUCGUCCGCCUUAGCGCGUGGUCCAUACCGUGUGAUAAUGCUCUCAUCGUCACGAGAAUUCGGUCAGCAUCGACUUCUUCACCUAUUCCCAAGUUGCAGCAGCAUGACACGACGAAAUCCUUGCGUGGCGCAGCCUUCUCCGGCAUUGCAUGGCUAGAGUACCGCCUGACGCACACGUCGAAUCGGAAGCUAAUGGGAUCUACACAUAAGAAAACGUUCGAUCAUCUGUCGCAUCCUAGCGGGAGAAGACUAAAUCCGAUCAAGCCAGGAGAGUAUAGAGUUUAUGUGGCUACGCAAAAUUGCAAGAUUUUGAAAUACAAAGCUCCUUUUUUCAUGACCUAACGAUAGAGUUGUCUUGCAUGGAGAGGCACAUGGCCAGUUGCCGCGUCAGCGAUCUCCUAUGAAAAAAUCGAAAGAAUUAUAUUAAAAUUUCCUGUAAAGACUUAGGAUUACAUUAGCAAAAAUUUAAAAGUUUUAGAAUUGAUUUGACUUCCAUACAAAAUAUGUAGGUGUAAUUAAGUAAUUUUUCAGGUUCAUUUGAGACAAAUUGAAGGUUAUAAUUGAAAUUGGUCAUUACCAACAAAUCGAUCCGACGAGUGAAGGAAAGGAGAAUUUUGAGACUAAAAGGGAGAUUAAUUGGAGGAGGAGCAUUCCUUUUUUGGGCUUUUGGAGGCCCACUAGCAAAGCCCUGCUGGCCCAACAGCCACCGGUCAAGAAUAUGGGCCCAAAGUUUCGGCCUUUGGGCCCAUAUAAUUCGAUUUGGGCUGAGCCUUUUACCAGGCCAUCUCGAGAGAAGAUGGGCCUGAUCGAAAUAGCCCAACCCAGCCCAGCCCAAUUGCCACUCCUUCCUCAUUAUGUAAGUCGAUAUGUGAGGUAAGCAUGGAAUCAUCUAAUUUAGUGAAAAUUCAACCAUUAACUUUAUUUCUAUUUUUUUUUUUGGCUGAAGUUUUUGGAUCUAUAUUAUUAAACCCAAAGUGUCAUUUAUAUUCCUAUGAGAAUCCCUCCAAGGCCCGUAGUUUGGGCCUUAGGGCCCAAGUAAGUUGAUUGUGUCGGGCCUACCUGGCCUAGCCCAAUUGUCACCGCCUCCUCAUUAUGUAAGUCGAUAUAUUAGGGCCCAAAUAAGUUGAUUGUGUCAGGCCUACUUGGCCUAGCCCAAUUGUCACCGCCUCCUCAUUAUGUAAGUCGAUAUAUUAGGUAAGCACAUAUUCACCUAAUUCAAUGAAAAUCCAACCAUUAACUUUAUUACUCUUUUUUUUAUGGGGGGCUGAAGUUAUUGGAUCUAUAUUAUUAAACCCAAAUUGUCAUUUAUAUUCCUACGAGAAUCCCUCCGUGGCCCGGAGUUUGGGCCUUAGGGCCCAAAUAAGUUGAUUGUGCCGGUUCGACCAAGCCCAACCCAAUUGCCACCGCCUCCUCAUUAUGUAAGUCGAUAUAUUAGGUAAGCACGGAAUCACCUAAUUCAAUGAAAAUCCAACCAUUAACUUUAUUACUCUUUUGGGGGGGAGGGGGGUUGAAGUUAUUGGUCUAAUUGUUACUAUGUGGAUAACUUUUAAUAAUAUUUUAAUAAUUUUGAAUAUUUUCUUUUUCUUUUUUCUUUUUUUCUUCCUCUCCUCCGACCGGCGAGGUCGACCACGCUGGCCACCAUGCCAGUGGCUGCAAAGUCGACCUCACCGACCGCCUUACUAGUGGCCGCGAGGGUAGCCUCGCGCUGUGUGGCGAGGGUCAAGCCUUGCCUAUAGCCAGCGAGGGUCAACCUUGACAACGCCGCCCAGAUUCGGUGAGGGCAAGCCUCGCUGGCAUUGCCCAAGCCACGAUUCGAUGACGUCGAGCCUCGCCAGCUCGACGCUAGGUCGCCAAAUUCGAUGAGGUCCGGCGAGGUCAACCUCGCCGGUUGUCGCCUCUAGCCAUUCAUCGAGGUUCAGCAAUUGGCUGCAGGAGGGGUAGAAAAAAAGAUAAAAAUAAAAAAUUCAAAAAUUCAAAAAUUUUAAAAUAUUAUUAAUAGUUGUUCACGUCAGCAUUGAUCAGGCUACAUCAGCUGGCCGGCGUCCAGUUAGUAAAAUCCGACCAAAAUUGGCCGGAAAAGACUAAAUCAGUACUAAGUAAAAAUGUUUAGGACUAAAUUGACACAAAAUACAAAAUGUUUAUGAUUUUUUUAACACUUUUCCCUAUAUUGCUUGAUCUGGGACAAUAUAGAUUACUAAUAAUGUCAUUUUGUGAGUUCAUUUCAAACCGAAUCGCAGUUAAUUGACUCAUCCAUAUUUGAAAGAACUAACUUGGAAAAAAAUCACGAUAAUGGACGAUGAUAAUGACAUGCACCUAGCACAUAGAGCCCACCAAAUUAGUAGAAAAUGUCAAUGUGCUCAGUGACGUCACGAUGAAGAUAUCGCAAUGGACUAUUAUUAGAUAAAUUUGCUAAUUUGUACGUGUCCUCACGGGAGGACUCAAAACAUCAAUUCUAAGAAGCUCUUAUAUACUUUUACGUCAUGUACAGCUUUUUUAUGUACUUUUUGAAUUAUAAUCAUAUAUAACAUUGCGAUGAAGUGAUUUUUUUUUGAAUUUGACGCCAUCGCGUUUUAGUUAAUUGACAUUGACUAACCGGGUGUGGAUCCAUCCUAUGCGAAGACUAUGUGCUAACUGGUUUUGGAAAAUAAUAUUCAAUAUAAUCAUUGUACCUAAAACAAUAUGUGGAAAUGUAAACGCAAGAACCACCCUCCGCAAAUGUACAGCGACUAUUGAAGGCAGUCUCUAAGGAAAUAAAAUUACAUAAACAAGACAGAUAGCAGCAAAAAGAGACGGAGAUCCUCCAUGGUUUAGAAGUGAUGGUGGUGUUUCUUGCCAUGAUGAGACUCUUCAUAUUUUUUCUUGGCCUCCUUCCUCUCGUGGUGCUCGUGGAAGGCGAACCCGACAGCCCCGACGGCAGCGGCGGCAGCUAUUUCCUCCUUUAUCUUGUGCCGGUGAGCGUGCUCCGGGUCCUUCUUGGCCUUAUGCUUCUCAUGCUGCAUUUUGCACAUUAUAAUCAGCAAUGGCGUGCACGAAACAAAAUGAGUUAAGGGAAAGAGGAAAGGAGCCAAAAAAAAAAGUUCUGUACUAUGUAUACUUUUUUUUUAUACAAGCUCUGAGCAUGGGAUAAGUUCGAGAAAAAAGAAAUUAAUUUAUUCACCUUGAAAAGAAGUAUUUGAUCAUGUAAAUAGUGCUAUGGAUUACAAUUAUGUUUUUUGUUAUUGUAGGGAAAUCUUAUUCCUCCAGCUGUUGGGUGAAGGAAAUCAAUUAAAUUCAAACUAGUGUUCAUUUAUAAGAAUGAUCCAUUCUCGCAUGGCAUGCCAUUAUCAUGUCGAGUUGAAAUAUGUGAGUUUAAUCGAGAUCUUUUGCAUCCAAUGCUCGUUAAUAACCUGAUGAUUCAGGUCAAUAAGGUGAAAACGCAAAUUUUAUCUAAAUUAUAAAAUGGAAAAAUAAUUGAAAAGAAUUGAAAAGAAUAUGAUAAUUAUUACCAAGGCAUAAGCACCGGCAGCAGCGCACCGAGCUCGCCGAGCUGCUGGAGGUGCUUGUGGUGCUUCUCCUCCUUCCUGUAAUUGACCGUAGGCUCCAUGAAGGCAUCAUCCUUCUUGUGGUGGCUGCGGUGGAGGUUGUGGUGGUGGUGGUGGUGGUGUCCUUCGGCCAUGGUUGGUGGUUGUUUUUUUUUUAGGAACACUAGAAUUGACGAAGGAUCAGGGAAAGGACUAUAGCUGAAGUGUAUGAUAUGCGUUGUGAGAACGUUAGAGAGGGAGGGGCGUAUUUAUAGGGAAAGUUGGCACAUGCAAAGUCUCGCAUCCAAUCGGGCCAACGCGGGAGGCCUUAAACGCGUGAUGGACGGUCGGGAUUGCUUAGUCUGGUUCUGCUCGAUGCAUUUUUGUCUUCUUUCGAUAAAGCAGUUGUUCGUAUGUCAAACAAAAAAAAAAAAGAAAUUAGGGGAUGACCUUUCUUUUUCUUUUUUUUUUGGGGGGGAGGGGGGGUUCUAGUUGAGGGAUUUUUGGGAGUAUAAAUUCAUUAGAGAACAAUGCUCUAACAAUACCAUAUACUUGACAAUGAUGUUUUUAUCGUUUCCCUUUGAUUUGUCUGAUGAUAAUUUCUUAGUCUUGAGCUUGAAUUGCAAGAUUUGUUUAAUAAUGUAAUUGUAGGGGUCCAAAGUCUAAGAUGAGACUUUCUGGUGGAGGUGGGUGGUUUUAACUUAUCGAUUAAGUAAUCGCAUUGCAUGAAUGUGCUCUAUGGGUUGUCCCGUGGUUUCAUACCGACUCAUUUUUGCAAAAGUGAUCGUCUCUUUUUAGAUGCAUUAAGAAUAAGAGAAUAUGUUAAUUUUUCCAUCACCGUACUUCCGUUUUUCUUUUCUUUUCUUUUCUUGCUAUACUCUUAGAUUGUUUGUAAGAGGCAUGGCAGUAUACCCCUAUUAAUUUUCAAGGGACGAAACCCGAAUUUAAUUAGAUAGUAGAACUAGUUUGUAUAUGCUCCAUCAAUGUAUUUAGUGGAACCCCUUCAUUUUAGAACUGGUUGAUGUGCCUAUUUACAUAUAAAAUCAAUGGGUAGAUAUUAUCUUGUGUUAAUUAGAAGGUGGACAUCAAUAAAAAAAUAUAUAAAUGAAUAAAUAAGUAAAAUUAAAAUUUGGACUACAUUGCCCAUUGCACAUUAUCCAAAGCAUCCAAGUACUAACACUCUUUGCCUAUGAUUUGAAAGCAGUCUGUACAUCUCUAUUUCCGGUGGUAAAUAUCAAAGCUCAUUUGAGAUGAUGCCCUUCUUGGCCUCAGUUCUCUCGUACUAUGAAUGCAUGUCUCCACCCAUAUAUACUUUGAAAAACAACCGUAUCAGUUAUGAUUUGAAGAACAUUCUCUUCUUUGACUUUCCAUUGUUUCUAUAGGAUUCCAAACACCAUUCUCUGCGACCAAAAUCAAGACUGGGCAUAUUCUAACCAGGUUGGCAAGACCAAUAAAAAAACCAAGAAAGAACCGAAAUUCAAGCGCAACCCGAAGAUCUUCGGAAGCUUCGAAGGUGGCCGUGGAGGAAAGGCAAUUGGCUAUGGCUCGCUCAGCAGCUCGGGCAGCUUCUUCAUUGAGGAAGAUCUCGACCUCGAAACGCCCCAAAGCGACUGGUCCCGUUAUUGCCGGCGUCUUGAGAUGCUCUAAUAUGGUCGUAUGAUGCAUGGUUGAAAGCUCGACAUGUCUAGCUUCGAUGAAUCAAGUUUCCCUGCAAUUUGGAAGUCCUUUGAAGGAAAUUAUGCCCGAAGUACUAAGAGGAGGAAAUCUGGGAUAUUGUUAAGUUUCAGUAUAGUAUGAUGCAGGCCGCGCGGGUGGUAUGGCCAGGCACGAGCUGGCUAUCGGCACGCAUGGUCGGGCUGGCAGGCCGGCCAUGUUGCGGGCUGGUUGCAUGAAUUUAUGGGCAUGAAUGCCACUAUUAUCUUUUCAUACUGAAAUGCACAGAUAAUGAUUUCAAAUUCUUGUUUCAAAUCAAUUUUACAAAGUACAGUCACAUUAUGAAAAAAAAAAAUCAUCUAAAAAGUCAUAAAUCUAUUACAUUUUAACCAAUUCAAUUCUAAUCCUUUCAGUUGCGUUAAUUGAGUCCUAAACAUUUUCACGUGUUGCCAAUUGAGUUUUACCCAACUAAGUUUAAUUGAAAAUCAAUGACGUGGAUGCCAGUAGUGCUACAUAGGACAAUUGGGGUUGAUGUUACCGAUUUUUUUUUUUAAAUUUGUCUUUUUUUUUAUUUAUUUUCUUAUUUUUUUCUUACCAAGUCCGACAAGGAUUGCCAGCUGAAAGGCAAGGGCUGGGUGACCCUUGUUGGCGAAUGGGUGAAGGCCACGAUGAUUGAGGCUUCAUGGUUGGCAAGGGUUGGCCAGCAGCUCUUUUGCUAGCCUUGGAAGGAAAAAGAAAGAAAGAAAGAAAGUUGAUCGAUUAAUACAUAUACACGGAUGCCGUGUGUGCAUUAUGCAAAACCAAGAGGCUGUUUAGUUUGACAUUCACCAAAUUAGUCAUAUUUAAAUUUCUUUUUUACCGAAAUAAAAUAACCUUCCAAUAUCUUAUAAAAUCUUUGCAAAGAUUUGAGGUGACGUAUGGUGACAUGAAGACUUUUCUAAAAAAAUUAAACGCGUUUUGACAUUAUAAUUCCAUGUUUUUGUGUCUUCUAUGGUUUUAUCAGGGGCACAUAUGGCCCAGUGCAGUCCUCUGGAAGUCGCGUGUCGGUUUUUGGUGCCUUCGCGUUCGCCCCUAAAAUGCAUACUCGGAUGACGGCGCGUCUUCGCCGCGUCGGCGACUUCGUCUUUGUCAACAAAACCAAAAUGAACGCUCCGACGAUGGCGUAUCUUUGCCAAACCAAAAUGAACGCUCCGACGAUGGCGUAUCUUUGCCUCGUCCGCCUUGACGCGUCGUCCAUACCGUGUGAUAAUGCUCUCAUCGUCGCGAGGAUUUGGCCAGCAUCGACUUCUUCACAUAAUCCCAAGAUGCAGCAGCAUGACACGACGAAAUCCUUCCGUGGAGCAGCCUUGUCCGGCAUUGCAUAGCUAGAGUACCGCCUGACGCACGCGUCAAAACGGAAUCUAAUGGGAUCUACACAUAAGAAAACGUUCGAUUAUCUGUCGCAUCCUCGCGGGAGAAGACCAAAUCCGAUCAAGCCAUGAGAGUCUAGAGUUUAUGUAGCUACGCAAAAUUGCAAGAUUUUGAAAUACAAAGCUCUUUUUCCAUGACCUAAUGAUAGAGUUGUCUUGCGUGGCAGCAUGUGGCCUGCUGCCGCGUCAACGAUUUUCGAUGAAAAUUAAUCAGAGGGAGUAUAUUAAAAUUUCAUGUAAAGACUUAGGAUUAAAUUAGCAAAAAUUAAAAAGUUUUAGAAUUGAUUUGACUUAUGUACAAAAUAUUUAGGUGUAAUUAAGUAAUUUUCCAGGUUCAUUUGAGACAAAUUGAUGGCUACAAUUGUAAUUGAUCAUUAGUAACAGAUCGAUCCGACAAGUGAAGCAAAGGAGAAUUUUGAGAUGGAAAGGGAGAUUAAUUGGAGGAGGAACUUUCCUUUUUUGGGCUUUUGGAGUUCCACUGGCAAAGCCCUGCUGGCCCAAUGGCCACUGGUCAAGUAGAUGGGCCCAGAGUUUGGGCCUUCGAGCCCAUAUAAUUCGAUUUGGGCCAAGCCUUUUACCAGGCCAUCUCGAGAGAAGAUGGGCAUGAUCGACAUAGCCCAACCCGGCCCAGCCCAAUUGCCACCCCUUCCUUAUUAUGUAAGUCGAUAUAUUUGGUAAGCACAAAAUCAUCUAAUUCAAUGAAAAUUCAACCAUUAACUUUAUUAUUUAUUUAUUUUUUGGCUGAAGUUUUUGGAUCUAUAUCAUUAAACCCAAAGUGUCAUUUAUAUUCCUACGAGAAUCCCUACAAGGCCCGUAGUUUGGGCCUUGGGGCCCAAAUAAGUUGAUUGUGCCAGGCCAACCCGGCCCAACCCAAUUGCCACCCCCUCCUCAUUAUGUAAGUCGAUAUAUUAGGUAAGCACGGAAUCACCUAAUUCAAUGAAAAUACAACCAUUUACUUUAUUACUCUUAUUAUUAUUAUUAUUUUUGGGUUGAAGUUAUUGGAUCUAUAUUAUUAAACUCAAACUGUCAUUUAUAUUCCUAUGAGAAUCCCUUCGAGGCUCGGAGUUUGGGCCUUAGGGACCAAAUAAGUUGAUUGUGCCGGCCCAACCAGGCCCGGCCCAAUUGCCACCCUUCCUCAUUAUGUAGUCAAUAUAUUAGGUAUGAGUGGAAUCGUCCAAUUUAGUAAAAAUUUAACCAUUGACUUUGUUAAAUUUUUUGGAUCAAGAUUUUUGAACCAAAAGUGUUAAAUAUUAUUUAUAUAUUGAAAUAUAUUUUAAUUUUGUUAAUUUUUUUGGUUGAAUAAUUUUAAGUUUGUUAAUUUUGUUAAUUAAAGAAGUUUAGUUUCCGAUAAAAAUAAUUUUAUUAAUAUGAAUAUUAUAAAUCAUAUCCACCUUUAUUCCACAUAUUCGUUGUGAGUGCAAUCCUAGAUUUAAGCUUAUCAAAGUAAGUUUUCAAACAAGUCCUUUCACUUAGAUAUAACUUCAUACAAUCUUUUGCCAUUGUAAAUCGUGAAAGAUGAUGGAAAAGAGGUUGCAAUUCAGUAACAAAAUUGCGAAAACCAACACGCUCAACCAUGAAAAAUGGUUGCUCAUCAAUAAUAAUCAUUCGAGCAAGCAUAUGCCUACAACGUUCUUGAUCAAAUUUCUAUAUCGUUAAAACACUAUCAGUAGUAGUAUUUUCCCCACCUCACCAACCACAUCUUUGUCACGUGAUGCAAACAACAUUUGUUUUUUAUCUGUACAAGGAUACUUUUUGCACUUUCUCAAGUGCUUCCACAUAGUAGAGGUUCCAUGAUCAACAUUAUACACAUAAUCCAUCCCGCAAUGAAUGCACUUCACCUUAACUGUUUUCUGUGUUUUCUCAUCUAUAAUUCUCAAAAAAUGAUUCCAAUAAUGUGAUUAAUUAGCUCGCUUUUUACCCGAAGCAAUAUGAGAGUUAGGUACCCUCACCUUGUUUGCGCCUAUGAUUGCAGAUUCCACUUCAUUAGCUCCAUGGAAUGGCAAUUCCAUGAGUGGACUCAUUUCAUUAUGUCCCUCUACUUCCAUUGAUAUGUCUUUAUCUUGAUCCAUUGAUUGAAAAUUGAAAAAAAAAAUUAUAUAACAUUAGAAUUCUACACAAACAUAUUAGUUUUCAUAGUAAAUCAAACCUCUCAACAUAACUUUGGAGAUAGAAAGUAAUUCAUGAUCUAACAUAGUAAAUCAAAUCUCUCAUUAGGUAUGCAUUGGAAAUGUAGAAUGCUGAUCUUCUGGCAAGCACUAUGUAGUUCAUGGUCUAACAUAAGAAAUCACUCCAUUUUUACUCAACUUCAGUGUUGUGGAAAUACAAGUUUCCUAUUAUCUCUGUCAUGAACAAGAAUUACAAGCUUCACAUAAUACUCCCUCUGGAAUAACCUAUUCAACAUAAACAAGCUGAAGCAAAAUGGGUUCAAGACAAAACAAGAUAUGGCAAUAAUGGCAAAGAAAUCAAGCAAUUUUGCAGCUUUGAUUUUUAUCCUGAAAGAAUCAUUGUAAUUGAGACUAUUUUGUUGCUUACUCAGUUAUAUGCCAUGACAGCGUUCAUUGUACACCCAACAAAACUAUUCCCCACCAUCACGGUAAACUGUUGUUUCAUACUCCAUUAGAAUUGGAUCGGUAUUAAUAUCCAUAUAAAAAAGUCUGCCAUCAUUAGGGGUGAUCAGGUCCAGGGUGGGUCCAGGGUGGGUAGGGUCUAAACCUGGACCCUGUUCCCGACCCUGUUAUAACCGGUUCUCUUUUUUUGGACCCUGUAUCCGACCCUAUUUGCAUUGGACCCUAUUCCCAAACCACCAUGUUUUUCCGGUUCGAGAACAGGGUUAACCCUGUUUAUAUUGGAACUUGUUUUGUAUAAAAAUUGUUGUACAACACUCAUAAGAUAAAGCGUUUAACACUCAUAUGUAAGACAAUCCAAUGAUAAUAUCCUUGGUAAGACAAAAUGAAAUUUGUUUUCCAAUGAUAAUGUUCUUGGUAAGACAAUCCAAAUCUAUAAAAUAAAAAAAAUAAAAAGAAAAGAGAUUAAAUAAGGCAUUCACUUAAUAGACUUUUACCAUUGACGCCAUGUCUCAAUCACGAUCUGCUCUAUCUCAACAUCAUUAGCUACUCUGCCUUUCUCAUUGACGCCUCUUUUUAGGUAUCUGCACAAGAGAUGAAUUAGCAGGAUCAGGCAUAAAACGAGCAAAUGAAGAGGAAGAGUGGCCUAUUUUUAUUGUUAUAAAAAGUAAUAAAGAAAAGAAAACAGGAUAGAUAGAUGCAUGGAAAAGCAUGGCUAUUUUCCCAGAUAGAUUCUUCCUUGGAAUACCAACUAGAAUCUAUUACCUAGUGCCAGCGUAAUGCCGCGAGCGUCUAGCAAUCAGGGUGAACUAGAAUUGCUUGCCCAAGAAAGAAAGCUUCUCCUGAUACGACCCAGAAGCAGUUAACACAAUAUCAUUCUUUCAUUCUCUCAGUUAGGUACAUGAUUUCUUGCACAAAUUAUCAUUGAAAUGCAUGAGGAUGCUUUUUAACUUAGCUGCAUGAUGCUAUUCUCGGUACAAACCAUUUUAAUUGAUUAACAGUUAGAUUAGUAAGCUAAAGACUGAAUAUUGAUUAAACGGAAUGGCAACAACAAACUAAGCCUUACCCCAUUAAAAAGGUCUGGCUAUAUGAAUUGUUUUACGCCCUCGCGCUUCAUCCUAUAUAACAAUAAUUCAGUAAAAAUUCUGAUUGAAGUACUUCACAAUCCAUACCUGGUGAAAGAACCCAUGUACCAACGUGACUAUCCACAAGGUAUUCUUGAGGUUAUUCCGAAUUCCACGUGUCAGAUAUUCAUUCCAAACAAACAUUGUAUCAUAGAGGCUCUGCCCAAACUCCUGAUCACACAGGUUCUUCUGAAGGCUACGCAUAACAUCAUAUGAGUUGCUGAAGAAGAAGUCCUUCGUAAGAUCAAUCACAGACAGGAGCUUCUUGUAUCUAUGGGGAUGAUCAAAAGGCAAAGCAUCCGGUUAAAACACACUGAACAGGAGAACACAUCAAACACAAACUAUAAGUGUAAUCCAACAGUUUGAACCACAAAUGUGAAAAGAAUUAACAGUAAUCUACUGCCGACACCUUGUAUCAAUCAUUUUGCAUUACAAGAUCACGGGGGCAAUGUUCACCCUGUCUAUUUGCAGUAAAAUAACUAGCAUGACUUCAAGAAAAUUCAAACACUAAAUAGGAUGCACUCGUAAAGUGUGAUAUCCCUUAUGCCACAGCUACAAACUAACUGGUCAUCCAAUGCAUGAACAUAAGUGAAGAACCAAGGCAUCUUUAAUUGAAACUUGAUGUUAUGAGACCACUCCCUCUGAUUAAAUUAGGAAUAGAAUGUUGCAAGACAAAUGAGAUUUUCUUCAUCUUGUAGCAGUGCUAUACGAUUAAAUUAGCAGGACCCGGCAGCAGCGGCUUCGCAGGGGAGGGCAGCGCAGGCGAGGCGCUACAGCAUGGGGCUCGGCGAGACGCGACGAUGUCGGGUCGACGCGGAUUAGCACAGCAGCGGCUUCGACGGGCUGCUGGUAUCGCGACUGGUGAGGGCGACAAGGAUCAACGUGGCUUCAGCAGGCAUUAGCGAGGGGGCUAGGCCAAAUCGCGAGCAGAGCAAGGGGCGUCGUUCGGGCGACGGUAGAUUGGCAGCAAGGGAGCUCAGGAAACAGCGCGCAGUGAGAACAGGAUCAGCGGAGGGCUACUGUGGGUUGCUCGAAGAUGCGACAAGGUGGCUUGCGGACGCGAGAUCUGUGGGUCAGGGCCGUCGGUGAGGCAACAGCAGCAGGUGGAACGGCGAGAACGAACGGAGGCGGCGUCGGUGCUCGGGUGCGAGCUCAGUAGGGGUUAGCGGCUUCGUGGGCAGAACCAAUGGAGCAGAGCUUCAGAAGACCGGUGGAACGGCGGUGGUGGUGCGAGCGCGAGGGGUGAAACGAGAGGCAGAGGCAGUGUCGGAUGGAACCAGCCCGUGUGAGAGAGGUAAAGAUAGAAAGUAGAGAUUAGGGUUUUGCAUUUUGGUUUUUGGGGGUGGCUUAAAACCGGUUCUCCAACCGGUUCCCAAACCGGUCCGGUCGAUCCAGUUCCCGGGUGGGUAAACCCUCGAAACCGGUUCCCGAACCGGUUCAAACAGGGUCUAAGUUUUGGGAACCGGUUCCCGGACCAAUUUCAACCGGAACUGGUUCCCGACCCUAUUUUCCGGGUGAGCCGAUCCGGGAAUUGGGUUGACCCGGUCCGGUUGCACACCCCUAGCCAUCAUCGAGUUCCGCAAAAUGGCAAUUCCCAAUUCCCUUGUACAUAAAAAAAAAGAAGCAUAAAAUUGUCAUUUCUCUUAUUUUUUUAUGCUAGCUAAAUCUUGCUAAGCUUUGACAUCCAUUCAGUGGUAUCGAUAGAACAUAAACUACAACCUCCUAGACAUUUUGAAAUAUAAUCCCUGUUUUCACCAUCUCCCAAUCCAGAUUUAUCAUUCUACAUCCAGCAAAACCAAGUCAACCCACGAGAACGCCAGCAAAAUUCACUAAGUAAGAAGCCCACAACAUGAAUUGCCGUCCCGUUAGGCAGGGAACAGAUACCAACGGCCUAAAGAGGGGGCUCAACUUCAUACCUAUAGGCUUUGUCGCCGAUGUGGGGCGGCGAGGAUGGUCGAGACCAGGAAAAGAAAACGGGUACAAAUGCAAAUCAGAAACGACGCUGCCAGCAAUUGGGUUGGAGGCAGGAUUCACAAACAAGGAUUCAACAAGAUCUUGAAUUACAGAAAAUCAGCAUGAAGACUUCUUCGCCCGUCAGAUUAAAACACUGGAAGAUCUUGAAUUUAGAAGCAACACCCGACAAAAAAAAGCGGGUACGACUCAAAAACCAAUCGGCCUAUCGACCAAGUACUUGGAGAUGCUACAAGAUGGAAUCAAGAACUCAGAACAAAGCCACCCAAAGACAAUCCCAAGAAUCUACAAGAGUCAAAACACAAAGAGAGAAGUACGAGUCAAGAAGAAGGGAAGGGAAGGAGACUUUAGGCCGUCGAUGAAGGGAAAAUGCAAAGUGUUGGAUGGAAGGAGGAGGAAAGAGACGCGCUUAAGCCACACCAACGCCAAGCACUCCUCUUCUGAAAACCGAAACUCACAAGGAAAUUAUAGGCCGGCACUAAUCUGGAGGACGGAGAUGAAGCCAGUGUACGACGAGUCAAGCUUGGACCCAGGGGCGAUGGCGCCAAAGCCCACCUUGCCGCCCUAGAGGUCGGUGAUGUUGACGAAGCCGGUGUUGCCAGGGGCGUUCCCAGCUAUGAGUGUCGCGGGAGGAAGGCGACAGUGGGCGCAGCGCUAGGAUGGAUGGAUCGGCGGAGGUGAGACCGUGAGAGCUUAAGAAGUUGAGAGUAAAGAUAAAAAGAAAUGAAUUAGGGUUUUGCCUUAAAAACCGGUUCUCAAACCGGUUCCUGAACCGGUCCGAUCGAUCCGGUUCCCGGGUAGGUAUUCCCUCGGAACCGGUUCUCGGACCGGUUCAAACAGGGUCUGAACUUUGGGAACCGGUUCCCAGACCGGUUUAAACCGGAACCGGUUCCCGACCCUGUUUUCCGGGUGGCCGAUCCGGGAACUGGGUUGACCUAGUUCGGUUGCACACCCCUACUCAUGGGAAGACUCAAAAUGUCAAUUCUAAGAAACUCUUAUAUACUUUUUUGUCAUGUACAGCUUUUUUACGUACUUUUUGAAUUAAAAUUAUAUAUAACAUUACGAUCAAGUGAUUUUUUUGAAUUGGACGCCAUCGCGUUUUAGUUAAUUGACAUUGACUAACCGAGUGUGGAUCCAUCCUAAGCGAAGACUGUGUGCUAAUUAGUUUUGGAAAAUAAUAUUUCAAUAUAAUCACCGUACCUAAAACAAUAUGUGGAAAUGUAAAAGCAAGGAAUCAGAUCAUCAGAACACCCAAGAUACAACCUGUACAAGACAAAGCCCGAACCCAUGCUCAUCCUCUCAGGGAAGCAUUCACAAGCAGCAGAAUUCAAGAUUCAAGAACCACCCUCCGCAAAUGUACAGCGUGUCAGCGACUAUUGAAGGCAGUCUCUAAGGAAAUACAAUUACAUAAACAAGGCAGAUAGCAGCAAAAAGAGACGGAGAUCCUCCAUGGUUUAGAAGUGAUGGUGGUGCUUCUUGCCAUGAUGAGACUCUUUAUCUUUUUUCUUGGCCUCCUUCCUCUCGUGGUGCUCGUGGAAGGCGAACCCGACAGCCCCGACGGCAGCGGCGGCAGCUAUUUCCUCCUCUAUCUUGUGCCGGUGAGCGUGCUCCGGGUCCUUCUUGGCCUUAUGCUUCUCAUGCUGCAUUUUGCACAUCAUUAAUCAGAAAUUGCGUGCACGAAACAAAAUGAGUUAAGGUAAAGAGGAAAGGAGCAAAAAAAAAAAAAAAGUUCUCUAUUAUGUAUACUUUUUUUAUACCAGCUCUGAGCAUGGGAUAAGUUCGAGAAAAAAAAAAUUAUUCACUUUGAAAAGAAGCAUUUGAUCCUGUAAAUAGUGCUAUGGAUUACAAGUUUUUGUUUAAGCCAAUUGUAGGGAAAUCUUAUUCCUCUAGCUGAUGGGUGAAGGAAAUCAAUUAAAUUCAAACUAUUGUUCAUUUAUAAGGAUGAUCCAAUCUCGCAUGGCAUGCCAUUAUUAUGUCGAGUUGAAAUAUGUGAGUUUAAUCGAGAUCUUUUGCAUUCAAUGCUCGUUAAUAACAUGAUGAUUCAGGUCAAUAAGGUGAAGACGUGAAUUUUAUCUAAAUUAUAAAAUGGGAAAAGAAUUUCAAAAAUUGAAAAGAAGAUGAAAAUUAUUACCAAGGCAUAAGCACCGGCAGCGACGGCACCGAGCUCACCGAGCUGCUGGAGGUGCUUGUGGUGCUUCUCCUCCUUCCUGUAAUCAACCGUAGGCUCCAUGAAGGCAUCAUCCUUCUUGUGGUGGCUGCGGUGGAGGUUGUGGUGGUGGUGAUGGUGGUGUCCUUCGGCCAUGGUUGGUGGUUGUUUUUUUAAGGAAUACUAGAAUUGACGAAGGAUCAGGGAAAGGACUAUAGCUGAAGUGUAUGAUAUGCGUUGUGUGACCGUUAGAGAGGAGGGGCGUAUUUAUAGGGAAAGUUGGCACAAGCAAAGUCUUGCAUCCAAUCGGGCCAACGCGGGAGGCCUUAAACGCGUGAUGGACGGUCGGGAUUGCUUAGUCUGGUUCUUCUCGAUGCAUUUUUGUCUUCUUUCGAUGGGGGGCGGUUUCUAGUUGAGGGAUUUUUGGGACGGCAAAUUUAUUAGAGAACAAUGCUCUAACAAUACCAUAUACUGGACAGUGAUGUUUCUAUCGUUUCCCUUUGAUUUGUCUGAUGAUAAUUUCUUAUUCUUGAGCUUGAAUUGCAUGAUUUGUUUAAUAAUGUAAUUGUAGGGGUCCAAAGUCUAAGAUGAAACUUUCUAGUGGAGGUGGGUGGUUUUAACUUAUCGAUUAAGUAAUCGCAUCAAAUGAAUGUGCUCUAUGGGUUGUCCCGUGGUUUCAUACCUACUCGUUUUUGCAAAAGUGAUCAUCUCUUUUUAGAUACUUUAAGAAUAAGAGAAUACGUUAAUUUUUUCAUCACCGUACUUCCAUUUUUUUCCUUUUUUUUUUCCUGCUAUACUCUUAGAUUGUUUGUAAGAGGCAUGGCAUUAUAUCCGUAUUAAUUUUCAAGGGAUGAAACCCGAAUUUAAUUAAAUAGUAGAACUAGUUCGUAUAUGCUCCAUCGAUGCAUUUAGUGGAACCCUUCAUUUUAGAAUUGGUUGACUUGCCUAUAUACAUAUAAAAUUAAUGGGGUAGAUAUUAUCGGGUGUUAAUUAGAAGGUAGACAUCAAUAAAACAUAUAUAAAUGAAUAAAGAAGUAAAAUUAAAAAUUCAAGGACUAUAUCGCCCAUUGCAUAUUAUCCAAAGCAUCCAAGUACUAACACUCUUUGCCUAUGAUUUGAAAGCAGGCUGUACAUCUUUAUUUCCAGUGGUAAAUAUCAAAGCUCGUUUGAGAUGACGCCCUUUUUGGCCUUGGUUCUCUCAUACUUUGAAUGCAUGUCUCCACCCAUAUAUACUUUGAAAAACAACCGUAUCAGUUAUGAUUUGAAGAACAUUCUCUUCUUUGACUUUCCAUUGUUUCUAUAGGAUUCCAAACACCAUUAUCUACGACCAAAAUCAAGACUAGGCAUGUUCUAACCAGGUUGGCAAGACCAAUAAAAAAACCAAGAAAGAAUGGAAAUUCAAGCGCAACCCGAAGAUCUCCGGAAGCUUCGAAGGCGGCCGUGGAGGAAAGGCAAUUGGCUAUGGCUCGCCUCAGCAGCUCGGGCAGCUUCUUCAUUGAGGAAGAUCUCGACCUCGAAACGCCCCAAAGUUACUGGUCCCGUUAUCACUGGCGCCGAAUUGCCGGUGUCUCGAGAUGCUCUAAUAUGGUCGUAUGAUGCACGGUUGAAAGCCCGACAUGUCUAGCUUCGAUGAAUCAAGUUUCCCUGCAAUUUGGAAGUCCUUUGAAGGAAAUUAUGCCCGAAGUACUAAGAGGAGGAAAUCUGAGAUAUUGUUAAGUUUCAAUAUAGUCCGAUGCAAGCCGCGCCAGUGGUAUGGCCAGGCACAAGCAGGCUAUCGGCACGCAUGGUUGGGCUGGUAGGACGGCCAUGUUGCGGGCUGGUUGCAUGAAUUUAUGGGCAUAAAUACUACUAUUAUCUUUUCAUAAUGAAAUAUACAGAUAAUGAUUUCAAGUUCUUAUUUCAAAUCAAUUUUACAAAGUACAAUCACAUUAUGAGGAAAAAUUAUAUAAAAAGUCAUAAAUUUAUUACAUUUUGACCAAUUCAAUUCUAAUCAUUUCAAUUGUGUCAAUUAAAUUCUAAACAUUUUCACGUGUUGUUAAUUUAGUUUAUCCGGCUAAUUUUAAUCGGAAAUCACUGAUGUGGACACCAGUAAUGUUAUAUAGAACGGUUGGGGUUAAUGUGACCAAUUUUUUUUAUAAUUUUUCUACUUUUUUUAUUUUUCUUUCUUUUCCUACCAAGUCUGACAAGGAUCGCCAACAAACCCUUGCCAGCCAAAAGGCAAGGGCUGGGUGACCCCUAUUGGCAGCUGGGUGAGGGCUUCAUGGUUGGCAAGGGUUGUCCAGCAGCUCUUUUGUUGGGCUUAGGAGGGAGAAAAGAAAAAGAAAAAGAAAAAGAAAGUUGAUCGAUUAAUACAUAUACAUCGGCCUGUGUGAAUUAUGUGAAACUAAGAGGCUGUUUUGUUUGACGUUCACCAAAUUAGUCAUAUUCAACUUUCUUUUUAACCGAAAUAAAAGAACCUUCCAAUAUCUUAUAAAAACUUUUGAAAGAUUUGAGGUGACGUAUGGUGACAUGAAGAUUUUUCUAAAAAAAAUUGAACGCGUUUUGACAUUACAAUUCCAUGUUUUUGUCUUCUAUGGUUUUAUCAGGGGCACGUGCACUCCUCUUGAAUUCGCGUGUCGGUUUUUGGUGCCUUCGCGUUCGCCCGUAAAAUGCAUACUCGGAUGACGGCGAGUCUUCGCCGCGUCGGCGACUUCGUCUUUGUCAACAAAACCAAAAUGAACUUUCUGACGAUGGCGUGUCUUCGCCUCGUCCGCCUUAGCGCGUGGUCCAUACCGUGUGAUAAUGCUCUCAUCGUCACGAGAAUUCGGUCAGCAUCGACUUCUUCACCUAUUCCCAAGUUGCAGCAGCAUGACACGACGAAAUCCUUGCGUGGCGCAGCCUUCUCCGGCAUUGCAUGGCUAGAGUACCGCCUGACGCACGCGUCGAAUCGGAAGCUAAUGGGAUCUACACACAAGAAAACAUUCGACCAUCUGUCGCAUCCUAGCGGGAGAAGACUAAAUCCGAUCAAGCCAUGAGAAUAUAGAGUUUAUGUAGCUACGCAAAAUUGCAAGAUUUUGAAAUACAAAGCUCCUUUUUCCAUGACCUAACGAUAGAGUUGUCUUGCGUGGAGAGGCACAUGACCUGUUGCCGCGUCAGCGAUCUCCUAUGAAAAAAUCAAAAGGAUUAUAUUAAAAUUUCCUGUAAAGACUUAGGAUUACAUAAGAAAAAAUUUAUAAGUUUUAGAACUGAUUUGACUUCCGUACAAAAUAUGUAGGUGUAAUUAAGUAAUUUUAAAGGUUCAUUUGAGACAAAUUGAAGGUUAUAAUUGUAAUUGGCCAUUAGCAACGGAUCGAUCCGACGAGUGAAGGAAAGGAUAAUUUUGAGAUGAAAAGGGAGAUUGAUUGGAGAAGGAACAUUCCUUUUUUGGGCUUUUGCAGGCCCAUUGGCAAAGCCAUGCUGGCCCAACGGCCACCGGUCAAGUAGAUGGGCCCAGAGUUUGAGCCUUCGGGCCCAUAUAAUUCGAUUUGGGCCGAGCCUUUUACUAGGCCAUAUCGAGAGAAGAUGGGCCUGAUCGACACAGCCCAACCCAGCCCAGCCCAAUUGCCACUCCUUCCUCAUUAUGUAAGUCGAUAUAUGAGGUAAGCACGGAAUCAUCUAAUUCAGUGAAAAUUCAACCAUGAACUUUAUUUAUAUAUAUAUAUUUUUUGGCUGAAGUUUUUGGAUCUAUAUUAUUAAACCCAAAGUGUCAUUUAUAUUCCUACGAGAAUCCCUCCAAGGCCCGUAGUUUGGGCCUUAGGGCCCAAAUAAGUUGAUUGUGUCAGCCUACCUGGCCUAGCCCAAUUGUCACUGCCUCCUCAUUAUGUAAGUCGAUAUAUUAGGUAAGCACAGAAUCACCUAAAUCAUGAAAAUCUAACAUUACUUUAUAUCUCUUUUUUUUGCCUCCUCAUUAUGUAAGUCGAUAAAUUAGGUAAGUACGGAAUCAUCUUAUUUAGUGAAAAUUCAACCAUUAACCUUUAUUUUUUUAUUUUUUAUUUUUGGCUGAAGUUUUUGGAUCUAUAUUAUUAAACCAAAAGUGUUAGUUAUAUUCCUACGAGAAUCCCUCCAAGGCCCGUAGUUUUGGGCCUUAGGGCCCAAAUAAGUUGAUUGUGCCAAAGCCGACCCAGCCCAGCCCAAAUUACCACCCCCUCCCUCAUUAUGUAAGUCGAUAUAUUAGGUAAGCACGGAAUCACCUAAUUCAAUGAAAAUCCAACCAUUAACUUUAUUACUCUUAUUUAUUUUUUUUGGGCUAAAGUUAUUAGAUCUAUAUUAUUAAAGCAAAAUUGUCAUUUAUAUUCCUACGAGAAUCCCUCCGAGGCCCAGAGUUUGGGCCUUAGGGCCCAAAUAAGUUGAUUGUGCCAGCCCGAUUAGGCCUGGCCCAGUUGCCACCCUUCCUUAUUAUGUAGUCGAUAUAUUAGGUACGAGUGGAAUCAUCCGAUUUAGUAAAAAUUUAACCAUUAACUUUAUUAUUAUUUUUUUGCUAAUUUUUUUGGUUCUAGAUUUUUAAACCAAAAGUGUCAAAUAUUAUUUAUAUAUUGAAAUAUAUUUUAAUUUUAUUAAUUUUUUUGGUCGAAUAAUUUUAAUUUUGUUAAUUAUGUUAAUUUAAGAAGUUUAGUUUCCGAUAAAAGUAAUUUUCUUAAUAUGAAUAUUAGAAAUCAUAUUUACCUUUAUUCCACCCUCUCACGAAAUAAUUUUGUCCGGUCUAUGUUCCUAUCAUAUCUGACUUUAUCAUAUUUUGAGCACACAUCAAACGAAGAAUAAGAUAAAUUUUAUCAUAUCUUGAAUUUUAUCAUGACUGUCAAAUGCAAUCAAGGUUUUUCUAUCUAUUGUAUUUUUUGCAUCAAAUUCUUAGUGGUUCAUUAACGCUUUUCCUAGAUUCGCUUGAGGCACAUUUGUAACACAAUUGUGUAGCUAUUAAUGUUAUGUUGAUGACGUUUUCUACUAGGCAACUUCAAGUAUAACUUGCUUUUUGGUUACAUGGUCCUUUCCAAUUUCCCCUUAUUUGUUUCAUUUUUUUGUUAAUCAUCGUGUUAAAUCUUGAUUUGUUUUAACAAAUUUGACAGAUAAAGAGCCUCUUGGGAACAAAGGCUGAGUGGAUGUACUAUAUUCUCAAGGCAUUUAAUGCUGGUGAUUUGCAACGCUAUUGACAACUAUGUCAUGUACACAAGGCUACUCUCAAUGCACAACCUGGUUUGGUCGAAAAUGACAAAACUAUUGGAGAAAAUCAACAAUCUCUGCCUAAUGGAAAUCAUAUUCAGGUCUCACUUUCAAUUCUUUUCUUAUCUCCAUUUCUUUCAUACUUAUUAUUUCACAUUUUGCAUUAUAACUAUGUAUUCCUCCACAUAUAAAAUAUACAAUCUUCUCCUGCAACUGUGCAUAAGAAGAUAGGACAAUUCCACCCAGCAUUAUUGAUGAAAGCCCAAAGUCUUUGUGUAGCUCAUGUUGAGCACCUUCUCAUGAAGAGCCUUUCUGUAAGUUUUCCUAAUUCUUUUGUAUUUCCCUUGGUGGUUGUGUCGUGUUGUGUUCUAUGACAUUGGAUGAGUAGAUUGGACGUCAUCAUUAUUCUGGCUGUGUGUAUAUGAUCCUUCUCUAGUUUAGAGUUCAUUUGGUUAUAGUUUGACUUAGCCUUAUGGUGCAGCUGUAUACACGAAGCUUGAAGACAUAAUGAACUUCAUCUGGAUAGAUUAGUGGUUUAGAUGUUUCAAAAAAUGAAUAAUUGAUAGUCAUAUGGAUGGGUGGAAGCUUUAUACCUAAUCAAGAGAGCAUAAAAGAACCACUCUUUUUCUCCUUGGUCUGAUCCCACGAACACAUAGGCAGUGAAGAUCUUACGUUCUUGGCUAUUUCUCUUAAAAUAUGGUUAAUCUCAAAGUCCAAGUAGAGGGAACAGUGCAUGUUUCCUGGGUCCAACCAAGAGUUCUGGGCAUUCUGCAAGUUAAAUCCUUGCGAGAUCGGUUGGAUGGUUGGUUGGAUAAAGUACACACUACUUUUCUAUUAGUUGAAGCAGAAACACCUGAUCUCGUCACUAUAUAGUCUUAUGUUGCUUUUACCUCCGCCAAUUGUAACAUCCCUUGACUAAGUUUGCCAACAACAAAGUGAAAGGAGGUGAAAGAAGAGACAAGUGCGAGGCAGUUGGGCAUUUUGUCCAUACCCGGGCUUCUUUCUAUGUCUCUAAGUAUUCUUCAAUCAUUUUUUGUUGCAAGUGGCUGUCUCGUGUGCUUCAGGGGAAUGUUUUCAACAGUCGAUUAGAGACUUAUUUAUUAGGUUAAAGAUGAUCAUUUACUGACUAAAGAUAGACAUCAGAAUGUGCAAGGAGAAUCUCAUUCGAUAUUCCUGAUAUGAUUUGCGUCAUGUAUGAAUUGCUGAUUAUAUUUUCAAAUGAACAUGAAAUUCAUUGUGCCAAUUGUCUCACUCCCGCGUGCGUGCACUCGCAUUGCUAGUACUUCUUAGGGCAUAUGAUGCCGUUAUAUAUAUCUGCUUGCUCCAUGGCCUUAAGUUCUUCACAGUUGAACAUUUGGGUUUCAACAAAUUCGACGAAUUAACAUCGGCUCUCACUCUCGUGCGCGCACAUAAUGGUCGUGCUUCUUAUGGGAUAUAUGGGUGGACACUGUACAUAUAUGCAUGUUGGAGAAAUCUUCCUUGAGUGUUUUGAAGCUGACAAAAUGUUUCCAUCAGUCUAGUCUAAAGACUUGCAGACUCUUCCAUCAAAGUCUAAAGACCUCGGGACUACCAGACUCAAGACUCAAAGUCUAUCCUCAUUGAUAGAUUCUAGUCUGUCGAAUAAGACUUAUCCAAAACUGGAUGUUUCGUCAAGGAUUUGACUUUAUUGACUGGAGAAGAUCUCUUUGCUGGAUAUAGCACGACGGAAUCCUUUAUUCUAAUCAAAAUUGAUUUGGGAAUCGUGGAUCCGUUGAUUGGCGAAGUAUACUUGGAAGGUUCUACUUAUGAAAGCCAAGAUCCUGAUUGUAUGGGCGAGCAGGAUUGAUGGGCUAUCGUCAUGUUCCUUAAAUAGCUCGAAGAUCUUCCUAAUUGAUUCUGUCCAAUAGGUAGAUUGGAAGAAUUCCUUUGGUAAGUGCCAACGGGUAUGAUGGCAUAAAGGAGUAUAUAAUGAAGACGUUUCAGUUGUUCGAGUGUGUGCACGAUAGAAGAAUUCCAAAGUCUGAAGCUCUUUGUUCUUAGUCAAUUAAACUGUUGACCGAAAUCUUGUACACAAAAGAGAGUCUAUACCAUUGAGAGAUCUUGAGGAAGUGUAGUAGAGUCUCUACACUAUGGAAUCAAGGAAGAGCCAAACUGUAACAACUCUUUUGUUCAUAGUGAAAUCCAGCUAGUGGGCUGUCAAUGCGGAAGAUUGGACGUAGGCUUGGAUUAAGCCGAAUCACUAUAAUCUAUGUGUUCAUAUUCUCUUCUCUACAUUCUUUUACUUUGAUCAUAACUAGUUUUAUUUACAAGAAAGAAUUUCCUUUUCAUAAUCUAUUGAUUAACACUGCACAUAUCUCGCAAAAUUGUUUCUGCACCUAUUCACCCCCCCUUUAGGUGCUCAUACUAGCUUUCACAAUUGGUAUCAGAGCCUGUCUACUCACUUGAAUUGAAGUGUUUUACUUCAGAGUUAAAGAUCCAUGGCUAGUAUGUUGGCUCCAGGACUAGUUGAAGGGCAAAGCAAUACCAAACCGCCUUAUUUUGAUGGAAAUGAAUACAACAUAUGGAAAAACAAGAUGAAGGCAUUUCUAAGAUCAAAGGAUCCUCUAGAAUGGAACGUGGUAGAAAAAGGAAUCAUUCCUAAAGCUUCAUCAGUCACAGAAAGAGGAAAAUAAGUCAUUGAGUCUAGCGAAAUGGCUCAAGAAGAGAUAAUCAAGAGAUAAGCUCUUGAUGCAAAAGCUAUUUAUUCUUUAUAUUGUGCAUUAUCACCUACUGAAUAUAACCGAAUAUCUUCUUGUGUUACAACUAAAGAAGUCUGGAAUAGAUUACACAUCACCUAUAAAGGAACUGACCGAGUGAAAAAAACUAGAAUCAACAUUCUGCUCGGACAAUACGAAGCAUUCAAAAUGAAAAUAGGAGAAUCUAUCACUGACAUAUUUAGUCGUUUUACAGAGAUAGUGAAUGGUCUUGAAAAUCAAGGGCAACCAAUUUCUGAUCCCAUGAAAGUAAACAAGCUACUGCAUGGACUCUCCAAGGAUUGGAAUCACAUAAAGAUCUCAAUAAGGGAGACACAAAGAAUCAUGCCACUCUCUAUUAAUGAGUUGAUUGGGACUCUUCAGUCUUAUGAAGUGGAGCGAAUCAACGAAGAUGAAAAUCCUAGAGGUAAGAAAUCCAUUGCAUUAAAAUCUAAUGAUGAUUCUGAUGUCACAGAUUCUAAAGACGAUAUAGAUGAUGAAGAGCUUGCUCUCAUGAUAAGAAUAUUCAGAAAACUAAACAAAAAGGGAAGAAGAUUCAAUCCAAAGAAACAAAGUUUUCAAAAGCAACAAAAUAAGUCUGUUGAGGAUGAUGAAUCCAAUAGAGAUGUAGUCUGCUUUGAAUGUAAGAAAAAAGGACACAUCAGACCCAACUGUCCCAUUUUGAGGAAAAAGAAAGGAAAAACUGAGAAGUAUCGAAAGGCACUCAAAGCAGAAACUUGGAGUGAUACAGAAUGUGAAGAAAGCAAUGAUGAUUAUGCAAAUAUUUGUCUCAUGGCACAAUCAGACUCUGAGACAGACUUAGAUUUAGACAGUGAAAUCGAGGUAAGUAAUUUGAAAAUCCCUACUAAAGUCUCUAGAUACAUUGAUGAAUUGUGUCUUAGUCUUAAAACUUCUCUAAAAGGAUUUCCGAACUUAAAAGAGAAAAUUCUGCACUAAAACAAUAGGAAAAUGUUUUGAAAGAAAAUGUCAAAAGUUUAGACAAAAGUGUUUCUACAUUAAAAGAAAAUGAAGACAAUCUUUCAAAAGAAAAUGCAUUCUUAAAAAAUAAUAUCUCAAAUAUUUCUAAAAGAUUUUUUAUAGGAUCUGAGAAACUUGAGAAAAUUCUUUUAGUACAAAGACCUUACUUCAACAAAUCGGGUUUAGGAAUAACUGUUGAAACCAUUCCUCUAAUUGAUUUUCCUAAAGUAAAAGAAAGAAUUAAGCAAAGACCUACGAGAAAUGCUUACAAAAAUCAUUUCCAUAAAGUGUUUGUAAAACCAGUAGGACGUAGUGCUCUUAAAUGUUUUAAGUGCAAUAGUUCAAAUCAUUUUGAAUAAGAAUGUUCUAUGGUUUGGAAACCUGUUAAGAAGGUAUGGGCAAAGACAGUAUAUCAUACUAACACCAAUGGACCCAAGAAAAUAUGGGUACCAAAGAAAACUUGAGUCUCUUUUCUAAAUGCAGGUCACUAUCAAGAGAAAGAUUAAAUGGUACCCAGAAAGUGGAUGCUCAAGGCAUAUGAUAGGAGAUUCAAAAUGCUUCAUAAAACUUGUUCAAGUUAACGGUAGAAAAGUUUCAUUUGGAGGAAACAGCAAAGGAAGAAUUGUGGGAUACAGAACUGUAAAGAUUGGAAAUCUCACGAUCAAUAAUGUUUCCUUAGUAUAAGGUCUCAACUACAAUUUGCUAAGUAUCAGUCAGCUGUGCGAUACCGGUUUCAAAAUCAAUUUUCAAGAGGGAAUCUGUUCAGGAACCAGUAAAGACUCCUCUUAGUCUUUUAUGGGUCAAAGACAUGGAAAUAUCUAUCUCUUGGAUGUCAAACCAGAUGAAACCCAAUGUCUAAUCUCAAUUCAAGAAGAAGCAAAUUUAUGGCACAGAAAAUUUGGGCACAUCAACAUGAAGCAAAUAGCCAAAAUUUCAGCAAAGAAGCUUGUUCGUGGUUUACCCAAUCUAUCAUGCCAAAAGUCUGAUAUAUGCACACCAUGCGUAUUGGGAAAAUAGGUAAGAAACUCAUUUAAACCAAUAAAUCAAGUUUCUACUAAUCGUGUACUGCAGCUUCUGCAUAUGGAUCUCUUUGGACCAACCAGAACUCAGAGCAUUGGAGGUAAGAAAUACUGUUUAGUGAUUGUGGAUGAUUAUUCAAGAUUCACUUGGGUAUAUUUCCUGGUAAGCAAGUCUGAAAUCUUUUCUUACUUUAAAAAGUUUGCUAAAAAGAUUCAAAAUGAGAAAUGGUAUGUUAUUUCAAGUAUACGGACCGACCACCGAGGUGAAUUUGAAAAUCAAGAUUUUGCUAAGUUCUGUGAUGAAUCUGGUUUUCAGCAUGUAUUCUCUUCUCCAUAUACUCCAGAACAUAAUGGAGUUGUGGAAAGGAAGAAUGGAUCUUUGCAAGAGAUGACUAGAACUCUUUUAAUUGAAAAUAACAUCUCUUCACGUUUUUUGGCUGAAGCAGUUUCAACAGCAUGUUAUAUUAUAAAUAGAGUUUUUCUAAAGCCUAUUUUGGAGAAAACUCCUAUGAGUUAUUCAAAGGUAAGAAACCCAUUAUUUCAUAUUUUCACGUGUUUGGAUGUAAAUGUUUUAUUUUGAAAAAUGCAAAUGAUCGAGUUGGGAAGUUUGAAGAAAAAUCAGACGAAGGGAUCUUCCUUGGAUAUUCGACCACAAGCAAAGCUUAUAGAGUAUACAACAAAAAGACUCAAUCUGCGAAGGAAUUAAUGAAUGUCAAAUUUCAAGACUCUAUGCAAAGUGAAUCGAUUUAGACUCAUCUUGAAGAAUCUGAACCUACUCUAGACUCUACAAAGUUUAUAUCUCCAGAAGCAGCUCAAACUUCAGAAGACCGGCAACAAAUGAUAGUCGAAGAUUCAAAUGAAGAAAAAGAUCAACAGUCUGACAAAUCAACCAGCAACUGGAAGCAUAAGUCCAGUCAUCCCACAGAUUUGAUUAUCGGCGAUAUUAAUGAAGGAAUUCACACAAGAUCCAAAAGGCGCGAAGAGUCUAGUGCUGUGGCUCUUAUUUCUAAAAUAGAACCCAAAAGUAUAGAAAAAGCUCUAACUGAUGAAAGCUGGAUUAAAGCCAUGCAAAAAGAACUCAGGCAAUUCAGUAUCAAUGAUGUCUGGGAAUUGACUCCUAAACCAAAAGGCAAAUCCAUCAUUGGAGCUAAAUGGGUUUUCAGAAACAAGAUGAACGAGAAGGAAAAGUUGUAAGAAACAAAGCAAGACUCAUGGCCAAGGGAUAUACACAAGAAGAAGGGAUAGACUAUGAUGAGACUUACGCACCAGUAGUAAGGUUAGAAGCAAUUAGAUUAUUACUUACUUUUGCUUGUCAUAAAAAUUUUAGGUUAUUCCAAAUGGACGUCAAAAGUGCUUUCCUAAAUGGAUUUAUCCAAUAGGAAGUCUAUGUGGAACAACCACCCGGUUUUGAAGACUCAAGGAAACCAUACUCUAUUUUCAGACUAAAAAAGGCUCUAUAUGGUCUAAAGCAAGCACUCGAGCUUGGUAUGAUAGACUAAGUAAGUUUUUAAUCCAAAAUGGCUUUGUCAAAGCUAAAGUAGAUACUACAUUGUUUAUCAAAAGAGAAAGCAAAAGUUUUCUACUUGUUCAAAUUUAUGUUGAUAUUAUUUUUGGAUCCUCUAAUGAAAGUCUAUGCAAGAAAUUUUCUAAGUCUAUGUAGGAUGAAUUUGAAAUUAGCAUGAUGGGUGAGCUAAUCUUCUUUCUUGGGCUUCAAGUGAAACAAUUGAAGGAAUGAACUUUUAUUCAUCAAGAAAAAUAUGCCAAUGAACUUGUCAAGAAAUUUGGGCUGGAAAAUUGCAAAAAGACCGACAUACCAAUGUCAAGUUCCUUGAAGCUAGACAAAGAUAAAGGAGGAAAGAAAGUUGACCAGAAGCUAUACAAGAGCAUGAUUGGUUCACUUCUUUAUCUUAUUACUUCUAGACCUGACAUUUUGUUUAGUGUUUGCAUUUGUACCAGAUUUCAAUCAGACCCUAAAGAAUCUCAUCUGAGUGCUGCAAAGCGUAUUAUCAAAUACAUUGCCUCAACCUCAAACAUAGGUCUCUGGUAUCCUAAAGAAUGAGACUUUACUCUUCUUGGAUACUCAGACGUAGACCUAGCCGGAUGCAGAGUUGAUAGAAAGAGCACCUCGAGCACCUGUCAACUACUUGGAAGUAGGACAGUGUCUUGGUUUUCAAGGAAGCAAAGUACAGUAGCUCUUUCUACAGUAGAAGCAAAAUAUGUAGCUCUUGGAAGAAGUUGUUCACAAAUUCUGUGGAUAAAACAACAAUUAAAAGACUUUAGAAUUGAAGAUUCAUGCACUGAAAUCAAAUGCGACAACACCAUCGCAAUCAAUCUCACCAAAAAUCCGAUUCUUCACUCAAGGGCAAAACAUAUAGAGAUUCGACAUCACUUCAUUAGAGAUCAUGUUCAAAAUGGAGAAGUUUCGAUUCAGUUCAUUGACUCAAAGAAUCAACUGGCGAAUAUACUUACAAAGCCUUUGGAGAAAAAUCAAUUUCAAGCUAUUCGUUCCAGACUCAAUAUCCUAAAGUCUGAGGAAGUUCAAACCCAGGACUGAAAGUCUAAAGACACUCAGACUCAGACAAUCAAGAUUUUUGACUGUAAGUUGUUUUUAUUAUCUCUCAGAUCAAAUCCCGAAAAGGUACGAUUAUCUAUUCUUAAUUGAUUGUUGCUAUUUUCAAUUUCCGUGAUUAUUGCAAUUUUUUCCUUUUUGAAAAAGAUGUUACUUUUGAAAUGACAGUUAUCCGAUUUUUAAAAAAGGCAAUUAAUUUUUUAAAAAAGCAUCUUUACAUUUCUUUUACGACGAUCCGUAUGCCUCGCUUCGACUGCCUUAUAUAAUGUCGGUUCCUCUUUGUUUCACUCUCACAAACCCUAAGAGAGUUUCGAUCUUCCAUUUCUAUCCUCUUUUCUUGUUUAAUCUUCGAAAAGUUAUCAUAUUUCUUGGAAAAUAAGCUUGGAAUCUCUCAAAGAUUGUGAAAGAUGUCGUCCCAAAGAAAGUCUUCAAGGAUCGCGAACAGAGGACCACAGCAAAUGCGUGAGGGGCCUACGCACUUUGAUCUCACCGAGGAAGAAGAAUCUCAUCAUCAGUGACAGAGCCCAUAACAUUCUCAGCAGCGUUCGUCUUCUCCUCCUAGACCUUAGAAUGUUUCACAUCAAGAAGAGGAAGAAAUCAUCGAAGACGCAGAACCCGUAAGAACUCUUAAACCUGGCUUCAUUUAUAAGCUUUACCAUGCUUUGAAGAGGGGUGGUACUCCUUUGAACUACAUUGAUGAAUUUUUGAAAGAAAAAGGGUAUCAAAAUGAAACCUAUUUUCUACGCAUAAUGGAACGAUUGGGAAUUGCCCCUGCUGGAUCGGCGGAAGAAGCAUUGGCAAAUAUCACAACUGAUCCACGUGUUAGAGGGCUGAGUCAGCCAUAUGGGAAUGACGAUGAUAGGAUGUACAGUCAGUUUAAACCAAGAAUGGGUGUUGCAACAAAAAUCCGAAGUAAAAGGACAGACUUGUUUCGAUCGGAUGACCACAAGCAACUGUACUCUAAGUUGCUAAAGCGUGGGGUAAUAAACCCUAAAAGUGUGGAUUUUGAUUUUCUUGACUCUGUGAAUGUCAAUCUGCAGGAAAAAUUCACUCUUCUUCAACUCGAACAGUUUUGUUCUGAAUCUACAGAAAGUUAUGCUAAACUUGUUGCUUAUUUCUAUUCAAAUCUAAGUUUCUUGGAUGCAAAUAGAUUUUCUUUUAGCGUUCAAGAUCAGGACUAUGUGGUUGACAUGAAUACAUUGGCUGAUGUGAUUGGGGUUGAAAGAGGGAGAUAUCAACCUAUCAAUGUGUCUAUUGCUCGUGCAACGUUAGAACUUGUUAAGGAUAGAAGAAUGGAAGAAAAGAUUUCCUAUUCGAUGAUGAAUGCAACCAACAUUUUGCUUCACAAGAUUGUGAUUAACUGCCUUAGACCGAAAUCAACUUCAAAAACUGACGUUUCAAACUCGGAGGCAAAGCUGAUGUAUGCCAUCAAUGCUGGUAAAAAAUUCUCUCUUCCACACACCAUUAUGUUUCACAUGUACAAGGCAGUGGUGAAGGACAAGGGUCAACUCCCGUACGCAGCUCUUAUAACCAAGUUAUUCAGACAUUUGAAUAUUCAGCCUCCCCGAAUUCUUUGUGGUCAAGCGUGCGAUCAAAUGGUGGUAGGACUGAAAAUGGUCUCUAAAAUGCAUCUGAAGGAACUCAACAAUGAGUUGGAGAAGUUCAAGGAGAAAACCCCUGUCAAGACUCAUCAAAUCUCUUCGACUGCAAAAAGGAAAGGGAAUGAGCCCAUGGUUGCUCCAUCCAAGAAAAAGAAGAGCUCUCAUCAUUGAGGAUGAUGAGGAUGAUAUCACCUUUUCUACAAUGGCAUUGAAGAACUUGAGUCGUUCUGCACCAGAAUCAACGGAGAGACAGGAAAAAGACACGACUGAAACAGAACAGAGAACUGGAGAAAGUGAAGAUUUUGAGAAAGAAGCAGAGGAGAGAGAUGCACAAGAGGAAAGAAUUGAAGAAGAAGAAGAAGAAGAAGAAGAAGAAGAAGAAGAAGAGAGUAGAAAAAGAACAUGAGGAACACUCUUCUCCACCUAAAGGCAUGGAAAUAGGGGGAGAUCCUGAGAAAAAAAGGAACAUCCUCAAUCCCUGCCACCGGUGAAGGAGUAAGUCGCUCUCCAGCAGAUCCAGCGGACAUCUAUGCCUCACAAUUUCCUGAGGAGGGACACGAUGUUUCAUCGCUCAAUCUAUGUAACAAUGCCGAUUCACCAUCUCCUGCUUAUACACCAUUUGAUUGUGCAGAAGCAAGUACUCAGACUGAUGAUUCAACAGACUUUCACAGAAUUCUUGAUGUUCUUUUGGAGAUGAAAGGUCAAAUCUAUGCUCUGGGAUGCGAACUUCAGAAUAUGCAGAAUGCAGGACAAGCUUCUUCGGUUUCUUUGAAUGAUCAACUCCAAGCCCUUAUUCUUCAAGUUCAGGCAAAUGCUUAGGGUGAAGAAGUAGCGCAACUAAAGGAGGACUUGAAAAAGCUGGAAGGCAUUGUCCAGUCAAUGGGAGAUUUCUAGCUUGUUCAUGUUCCCAAGCCAUCUUAAUUUCAUUCUCUUUCCAUCUCUACCUUUUUAAUGAUGACAAAAAGGGGGAGAGAUGUGCAGAUUUGACUGACUAUUUGGAUUUAAAACUUUUUUGAUUGACUUGAUGUUUAUGUUUGGCUGUUUGGAUUUGGACUGGAUUUGAAAUUGACUGUUUGAACAUUUGUUUAUCUUAAGUAUUAUUGAUAUCUCAUGGCCUUGUUCAUAAGACUAACCUACUUUCUGUGGAUGCAGAUUCUAGUGUUAUUACUAAGCCAUUUAUCUUUGUGAGAUAUCCAUAUUUGCUUGAAGUAAUGUUUUGCAGGUCAAAGUUAUCCAAAUCUGCAGGAAAGUUUUGUCACCAUCAAAAAGGAAGAGAUUGUUGGAGAAAUCUUUCUUGAGUGUUUUGAAGCUGACAAAACGUUUCCAUCAGUCUAGUCUGAAGACUUGCAGACUCUUCCAUCAAAGUCUGAAGACCUUCAGAUUGCCAGACUUAAGACUCAAAGUCUAUCCUCAUUGACAGCUUCUAGUCCGUCGAAUAAAACUUAUCCAGAACUGGAUGUUUCGUCAAGGAUUUAACUUUAUUGACUGGAGAAGAUCUCUUAGCUGGAUAUAGCAUGACGGAAUCCUUUAUUCUAAUCAAGAUUGAUUUGGGAAUCGUGGAUCCGUUGAUUGGCAAAGUAUACUUGGAAGGUUCUACUUAUGAAAACCAAGAUCCUAAUUGUAUGGGCGAGCAGGAUUGAUGGGCUAUCAUCAUGUUCCUUAAAUAGCUCGAAGAUCUUCCUAAUUGAUUCUGUCCAACGGGUAGAUUGGAAGAAUUCAUUUGGUAAGUGCCAACGGGUAUGAUGGCAUAAAGGAGUAUAUAAGGAAGACGUUUCAGUUGUUCGAGUGUGUGCACAAUAGAAGAAUUCCAAAGUCUGAAGCUCUUUGUUCUUAAUCAAUUAAAUUAUUAAGCAAAAUCUUGUACGCAAAAGAGAGUCUAUACCAUUGAGAGACCUUGAGGAAGUGUAGUAGAGUCUCUACACUAUGGAAUGAAGGAAGAGCCUAACUGUAACAACUCUUUUGUUCAUAGUAAAAUCCAACCAGUGGGCCGUCAGUGCGGAAGGGUGGACGUAGGCUUGAGUUAAGCCGAACCACUGUAAUCUCUGUGUUCAUAUUCUCUUCUCUACACUCUUUUACUUUGAUCGUAACUGGUUUUGUUUACAAGAGAGAAUUUCCUUUUCAUAAUCUAUUGAUUAACACUGCACAUAUCUCGCAAAUUGUUUCUGCACCUAUUCACCCCCCCUUUAGGUGCUCAUACUAGCUUUCACAAUGCAUACUCCAUGGCCAUCAAAGUCAAUGUAUGAGAGCCAUGCCAUAUGAUACCAUUUGUGUUCCCUGCUAUCGGCAAUGGACAAGUGGGAGUUGUCCUAUCAUACUGUUCCCUUAAUUAGGGCAAUCCAUGUCCAAAUUCAAUGAAUUUCUUUCUUGCUGCAGUUUUGUAGCUAUCCUAUUUAGCCUUUUUUGUAAAGCUAUUCAGACCCUUCCAAUAAGGCGACACCUGCUUGAAAUUUCAAAUCCGAUUCAGUGGUAUUAUACCAGCCAACUAGCACUUCAAAAACAGCUCAAAACCCUUUUGCCUUGUGGAGAUUCAAUAGGGUAUGGACACUUAGCUAGAGAAUAGAUUGCAACGUAAAAACAAAGAAAGUACUCGCACUUGGAAUUAAAAGCACAGUGAAGAACUACAGGCUACUAUGUAUGAUAGAACUACAGAGGAGAAAGAUCCAGAAAAGAAAAGGAAAUACGGGGGGAAUUCCCUCAACUAAAAAUACACUUUAAUCUCUUCUCUUGUUUGUAAAAGCAAUUUUUGUAAUUCUUUUGAUUUUCUGAUAUUUUUCUAUUUUUCCUUUUCUUUUCUCACUUCUCUUUUCAUUUUUCCCUUUUUCCCUUUGCCAACCAUCCACGAGGCCUAUGUAUGAAUACAAAUAGCUUGUGAAUAGAGACUUGCAUAUUUAUAUUGUAGUCAAGAUUCAAGUUUGAUUUGACUACAUAUAUUUAUAGAUUGCCCUUUCCAACAAAAACCAAAAGCAUUCAAAUCAAAUACGUAACUUCCAAAGCUUUAAGAAGCAUCCUAUAAUUAGAUUAUUGACAUGUUUUUCGAAUAGUUUAAGAAUCACACAAUAUCGGGAACGUAGGUUAAGGGUUUGUGUUGUGGUGCUAUACUCUUAAUAAUCAAAGAUCAUUCUAACUCGCUAGACUCCAACCAAUCUUGUAGCAUCAUACUCAUAAGUACCUACGUAGAGAGAUAAUAGGGAACAAAGUCGCUUGAGAGAGAGAGAGAGAGAGAGAGAGAGAGAGAGAGAGAGAGAGAGAGAGAGAGAGAAUCAGCUACUUAGACGACAAAAUCGGGAGAGCAACUUACACGUAUGGAAACCUAGUCAUAAAAUCGAAUAAUUUCUUUUUUGCAUGCUAGUUUAGGAAAAUGAGCAUAAAAUAGUCAAUUCAGAUUAGAAUGACCUGAUUCCAAAGCAAAAGAAUGGAGACUUGAAGAAUCACAAAUUUUGUAUUUUCAGUUUCCUCAACUAAGCACUGUAGGCUUGUCGAUAUUUUAUGAAAGUGGGCUAAACGGUGGUGGACAAAAUGAAGAAAAGUACAGGAACUUCAAUGGUUGCUUUUCUAGGCCCCCAAGGAAGUUGAAAUAGCAUCAAUUCUUCGAGAUUGAUGGCUGCAACUCUUCAAAGAUGCAAGCUUUAAAAGCCCUGACUCUUCAAGGACAGAGUGGAGACUCUUCUAGGUUUUCAAGGGAUUUGAACUCUUUAAGGUUCUAGAGAGUUACACUAAGCAAAUUUCAUUAAUGAAAUUCGGUCUAUAAUUUAUAGAGACUCAUUGACCUUUUAUAUCAAAACAAAAGAAGAGUAAGAGGCUAGACUCAAACAUAGAAACUAAUAGUCAUUAAUGUACGUAGAAACUAGAAGCUAUUAAAAUUGAAACAUAUUUACCAAUGCUUUUGCUCGCCCCAAAGUGCCUUGAUGCAAGUUUUAAUGUUUGAGAAAUGACAAAAUGACAAAAUAGAGUGUCAUUGAUAUUGAAUGCACACUAAUCUUCUUGGUUGAACAAGUUGGUCUUGAAUAUGGGCUACAUCAAAGAGAGAGAGAGAGAGAGAAAUGAGCUAUUUCCCUCCAAUGAUGAUAAUUUUAUUGAUAACUUCUAUAUGAUGUAAGAGAUAUAACUUUUGUGGAAUUAAAGACACUUUAUUGAACCUUUUUCAGGAUAUAUAAAUGGGUUAGCCAUCAUAUAUUGUUGGGAUAAGUGUUAGCCAUCAUAUAUUGUUGGGAUAAGUGUUAAAAAAAGUCAUAAACCUUUUGUAUUUGUGUCAAUUUAGUCCUAAACCUUUUUUUGGUGCCAAUUUAGUCCUAAACAUUUUUACUUAGUGCCGAUUUAGUCAUUUCCGACCAAUUUUCACAGGAUUUUGCUGACCAGAUGCCAAUCGGCUGACAUGGCCUGAUCGGUGCUGACGUGGACAACUUUUAAUAAUAUUUUAAUAUUUUAAUAUUUUUUAUUUUCUUUUAUUUUCUUUUUUUCUUUUUUUCUUUUUUCUUCUCCCCCUCCAACCGAUCGCCAGACCUCGGCGACUAGCCAGAGGCAACGGUCAGCGAGGUCAACCUCAUUGGCCACCUCGCCAGUGGCCACAAGGGCGGCCUCGCACUGCGGCCUCGCGCUAGGCGACGAGGCUCACCCUCACCCAAUCUGACAAGGGUGGAGCCUCACUAGCCAUGGGGUCGAGCCUCGCCCAUGGCCAAUGAGGCUCAACCUUGCCAGCGUCGCCCAGAUCCGAUGAGGGUGAGCCUCGUCAGCAAUGCCUAGGCCACGAUUUGGCGAGGUCGAGCCUCGCCAGCCUAGCGCUAGGUCGCAAGAUCUGGCGAGGUCGGCCUCGCCAGGCGUCGCCUCUGGCCAUUCGCCAAGGUCUGGCGACUGGCUGGAGGAGGGGAAGGAAAAAAUAAAAUAAAAAUACAAAUAAAAAUAAACAUAAAAUUUAAAAAUAUAAAAAUAUUAUUAAAAGUUGUCCACGUCAGCACUGAUAAGGCCACAUCAGCCGGCCGGCGUUCAAUCAGCAAAAUUGGCUAGAAAGCACUAAAUCGGCACUAAGUAAAAAGGUUUAUGACUAAAUUGAUACAAAUACAAAAGGUUUAUGACUUUUUAAACACUUUUCCCUAUAUCGCUUCAUUUGGGACAAUAUACUUUAUUAAUUAUGUUAUGAGUUCAUUUCAAAUGAAUUGCAGUUAAUUGACUCAGCCAUAUUUGGAAGAACUAACUUGGAAAAAAUCACGAAAAUGGACGUGUCCUCAUCGGAGGACUCAAAACAGCAAUUCUAAGAAACUCUUAUAUACUUUUAUGUCAUGUACAGCUUUUUUACGUAUUUUUUUGAAUUAUAAUUAUAUAUAACAUUGCGAUAAGUGAUUUUUUUGAAUUUGACGCCAUCGCGUUCUAGUUAAUUGACAAUGACUAACCGGGUGUGGAUCCAUCGUAUGCGGAGACUGUGUGCUAAUGGGUUUUGGAAAAUAAUAUUCAAUAUAAUCACCGUACCUAAAACAAUAUGUGGAAAUGUAAACGCAAGGAAUCAGAUCAUCAGAACACCCAAGAUACAACCUGUACAAGACAAAGCCCGAACCCAUGCUCAUCCUCUCAGGGAAGCAUUCACAAGCAGCAGAAUUCAAGAUUCAAGAACCACCCUCCGCAAAUGUACAGCGUGUCAGCGACUAUUGAAGGCAGUCUCUAAGGAAAUACAAUUACAUAAACAAGGCAGAUAGCAGCAAAAAGAGACGGAGAUCCUCCAUGGUUUAGAAGUGAUGGUGGUGCUUCUUGCCAUGAUGAGACUCUUUAUCUUUUUUCUUGGCCUCCUUCCUCUCGUGGUGCUCGUGGAAGGCGAACCCGACAGCCCCGACGGCAGCGGCGGCAGCUAUUUCCUCCUCUAUCUUGUGCCGGUGAGCGUGCUCCGGGUCCUUCUUGGCCUUAUGCUUCUCAUGCUGCAUUUUGCACAUCAUUAAUCAGGAAUUGCGUGCACGAAACAAAAUGAGUUAAGGUAAAGAGGAAAGGAGCAAAAAAAAAAAAAAGUUCUCUAUUAUGUAUACUUUUUUUAUACCAGCUCUGAGCAUGGGAUAAGUUCGAGAAAAAAAAAAUUAUUCACUUUGAAAAGAAGCAUUUGAUCCUGUGAAUAGUGCUAUGGAUUACAAGUUUUUGUUUAAGCCAAUUGUAGGGAAAUCUUAUUCCUCUAGCUGAUGGGUGAAGGAAAUCAAUUAAAUUCAAACUAUUAUUCAUUUAUAAGGAUCAUCCAUUCUCGCAUGGCAUGCCAUUAUUAUGUCGAGUUGAAAUAUGUGAGUUUAAUCGAGAUCUUUUGCAUCCAAUGCUCAUGAAUAACCUGAUGAUUCAGGUCAAUAAGGUGAAGACGUGAAUUGUAUCUAAAUUAUAAAAUGGGAAAAGAAUUGAAAAGAAGAUGAAAAUUAUUACCAAGGCAUAAGCACCGGCAGCGACGGCACCGAGCUCGCCGAGCUGCUGGAGGUGCUUGUGGUGCUUCUCCUCCUUCCUGUAAUUGACCGUAGGCUCCAUGAAGGCAUCAUCCUUCUUGUGGUGGCUGCGGUGGUGGUGGUGGUGAUGGUGGUGUCCUUCGGCCAUGGUUGGAGGUUGUUUUUUUUUUUUUUGACGAAUACUAGAAUUGACGAAGGAUCAGGGAAAGGACUAUAGCUGAAUUGUAUGGUAUGCGUUGUGAGACCGUUCGAGAGGGAGGGAAGUAUUAAUAGGGAAAGUUGGCACAUGAAAAGUCUCGCACCCAAUCGGGCCAACGCGGGAGGCCUUAAACGCGUGAUGGAUGGUCGGGAUUGCUUAGUCUGGUUCUGCUCGAUGCAUUUUUGUCUUUUUUCGAUGGGUUGGGGGGGAGGGGGAGAGGGGGGGGGCGGGUGUUUCUAGUUGAGGGAUUUUUGGGAGGACAAAUUCAUUAGAGAACAAUGCUAUAACAAUACCAUAUACUUGACAAUGAUGUUUUUAUCGUUUCCCUUUGAUUUGUCUGAUGAUAAUUUCUUAGUCUUGAGCUUGAAUUGCAAGAUUUGUUUAAAAAUGUAAUUGUAGGGGUCUAAAGUCUAAGAUGAAACUUUCUGGUGGAGGGGGUGGUUUUAACUUAUCGAUUAAUUAAUUGCAUCGCAUGAAUGUGCUCUAUGGGUUGUCCCGUAGUUUCAUACCGACUCAUUUUUGCAAAAGUGAUCAUCUCCUUUUAGAUGCUUUAAGAAUAAGAGAAUAUGUUAAUUUUUCCAUCACCAAACUUCCAUUUUUUUUUUUUUGCUUUUCCUGCUAUACUCUUAAAUUGUUUGUAAGGCAUGGCAUUAUAUCCCUAUUAAUUUUCAAGGGACGAAACCUGAAUUUAAUUAGAUAGCAGAACUAGUUCGUAUAUGCUCCAUCAAUGCAUUUGCUGAUGCCUUUGUCUACUUAUAAAAACAUGUGGAAUAGUUGGAAAAACAAAUGCUCCUAGUGUAUGUAAUGACAUUCCAUGAUCUUGAGGCACGAUGGAUAGUCUCGUUCUGAUUCUACUUGACAGACAAAGCUAAAUCAACUCAGAUUUUUAUUUGUGCCAUAUGACACCUCGGGGAUGGUUAGUAGCUCCCUUGAAUGUGAACAAUUUUAUACCCUUUCUUCUUGAGAUUAUUAGAUGCUGGUGCCAUUGACUUUAUUUUAGUUAUUUAAUUUAGUGGAACCCCUUCAUUUAGAAUUGGCUGACGUGCCUAUAUACAUAUAAAAUCAAUGGGGUAGAUAUUAUUUGGUGUUGAUUAGAAGGUAGACAUCAAUAAAACAUAUAUAAAUGAAUAAAUAAGUAAAAUUAAAAAUCCAAGGACUACAUCACCCAUUGCACAUUAUCCAAAGCAUCCAAGUGCUAACACUCUUUGCCUAUGGCAUGAAAGCAGACUGUACAUCUUUAUUUCCAGUGAUAAAUAUCAAAGCUCGUUUGAGGUGAUGCCCUUUUUGGCCUUGGUUCUCUCGUACUUUGAAUGCAUGUCUCCACCCAUAUAUACUUUGAAAAACAACCACAUCAGUUAUGAUUUGAAGAACAUUCUCUUCUUUGACUUUCCAUUGUUUCAAUAGGAUUCCAAACAACAUUCCCUGCGACCAAAAUCAAGACUAGGCAUGUUCUAACUAGGUUGGCAAGACCAAUAAAAAAAACCAAGAAAGAACCGAAAUUCAAGCGCAGCCUGAAGAUCUCCGGAAGCUUCGAAGGCGGCCAUGGAGGAAAGGCAAUUGGCUAUGGCUCGCUCAGCAGCUCGGGCAGCUUCUUCAUUAAGAAAGAUCUCGACCUCGAAACGCCCCAAAGCGACUGGUCCCAUUAUUGCCGGCGCUGAAUUGCCGGUGUCUCGAGAUGCUCUAAUAUGGUCGUAUGAUGCAUGGUUGAAAGCUCGACAUGUAUAGCUUCGAUGAAUCAAGUUUUCCUGCAAUUUGGAAGUCCUUUGAAGGAAAUUAUACUCGAAGUACUAAGAGGAGGAAAUCUGGGAUAUUGUUAAGUUUCACUAGAGUACGAUGCAGGCCACGCGGGUGGUAUGGCUAGGCACGAGCAGGCUAUCGACACUCAUGGUUGGGCUGGCGGGCCAGCCAUGUCGCGGGCUGGUUGCAUGAAUUAUGGGCAUGAAUGCUACUAUUAUCUUUUCGUACUGAAAUACAAAGAUGAUGAUUUCAAAUUCUUGUUUCAAAUCAAUUUUACAAAGUACAGUCACCAUUAUGAAAAAAAAAAUCAUCUAAAAGGUCAUAAAUCUAUUACAUUUUAACCAAUUCAAUUAUAAUCCUUUCAAUUGCGUCAAUUGAGUCCUAAACAUUUUCACGUGUUACCAAUUGAGUUUUACCUGACUAAGUUUAAUUGGAAAUCAUUGAUGUGGAUGCCAGUAGUACUACAUAGGACUGUUGGGAAUAAUGUGACCAAUUUUUUUAUGAUUUUUCUUCUUUUUUUAUUUUUUUUUAUUUUUUUUUCUUACUAAGUCCAACAAGGAUUGCCAGCUAAUCCUUGCGAGCUGAAAGGCAAGGGCUGGGCGACCCUUGUUGGCGACUAGGUGAAGGCCACGAUGAUUGAGGCUUCAUGGCUCGCAAGGGUUGGCCAGCAGCUCUUUUGCUUGGCUUGGAAGGAAAAAAGAAAGAAAGAAAGCUGAUCAAUUAAUACAUAUACAUGGAUGCCGUGUGUGCAUUAUGCAAAACCAAGAGACUGCUUAGUUUGAUGUUCACCAAAUUAGUCAUAUUUAAAUUUCUUUUUCACCAAAAUAAAAGAACCUUCCAAUAUCUUACAACAACUUUGCAAAGAUUUGAGAUGACGUGUGGUGGCAUGAAGACUUUACUAAAAAAAUCAAACGCGUUUUGACAUAACAAUUCCAUGUCUUUGUGUCUUCUAUGGUUUUAUCAGGGGCACAUAUGGCCCAGUGCACUCCUCCUGAAGUCGCGUGUCGGUUUUUGGUGCCUUCGCGUUCGCCCCUAAAAUGCAUACUCGGAUGACGGCGGGUCUUCGCCGCGUCGGCGACUUCGUCUUUGUCAACAAAACCAAAAUGAACGCUCCGACGAUGGCGUGUCUUCGCCUCGUUCGCCUUAACGCGUCGUCCAUGCCGUGUGAUAAUGCUCUCACCGUCACGAGAAUUCAGCCAGCAUCGACUUCUUCACAUAAUCCCAAGAUGCAGCAGCGUGACACGACGAAAUCCUUGCGUGGAGCAGCCUUGUCCGGCAUUGCAUAGCUAGAGUACCGCCUGACGCACACGUCGAAACGGAAUCUAAUGGGAUCUACACAUAAGAAAAUGUUCGAUUAUCUGUCGCAUCCUCACGGGAGAAGACUAAAUCCGAUCAAGCCAUGAGAGUCUAGAGUUUAUGUAGCUACGCAAAAUUGCAAGAUUUUGAAAUACAAAGCUCUUUUUCCAUGACCUAAUGAUAGAGUUGUCUUGCGUAGAGAGGCACAUGGCCUGUUGUCACGUCAGCGAUCUCCGAUGAAAAAUCAAAAGGAUUAUAUUAAAAUUUCCUGUAAAGACUUAGGAUUACAAUAGCAAAAAUUCAAAAGUUUUAGAACUGAUUUGACUUCUGUACAAAAUAUUUAGGUGUAAUAAGUAAUUUUCUAGGUUCAUUUGAGACAAAUUGAUGGUUAUAAUUGUAAUUGGUCAUUAGCAACAUAUCAAUCCGACGAGUUAAGGAAAGGAGAAUUUUGAGACGAAAAUGGAGAUUAAUCGGAGGAGGAAAAUUCCUUUUUUGGGCUUUUGGAGGCCCACUGGCAAAGCCCUGCUGGCCCAACGGCCACCGGUCAAGUAGAUGGGCCCAGAGUUUGGGCCUUCGGGCCCAUAUAAUUCGAUUAGGGCCAAGCCUUUUACCAGGCCAUCUCGAGAGAAGAUGGGCCUGAUCGACAUAGCCCAACCCACCUUAGCCCAAUUGCCACUCCUUCCUCAUUAUGUAAGUCGAUAUAUUAGGUAAGCACCAAAUCAUCUAAUUAAGUGAAAAUUCAACCAUUAACUUUAUUUUUAUUUUUUUUGGCUGAAGUUUUUGGAUCUAUAUUAUUAAACCCAAAGUGUCAUUUAUAUUCCUACGAGAAUCCCUCCAAGGCCCGUAGUUUGGGCCUUAAGGCCCAAAUAAGUUGAUUUUGUCGGGCCUACCCAGCCCAGCCCAAUUGUCACUGCCUCCUCAUUAUGUAAGUCGAUAUAUUAGGUAAGCACGGAAUCACCUAAUUCAAUGAAAAUCCAACCAUUAACUUUAUUACUCUUUUUUUUUAGGGGGGGGGGGGGGGGGGCUUGAAGUUAUUGGAUCUAUAUUAUUAAACCCGAAUUGUCAUUUGUAUUCCUACGAGAAUCCCUUCGCAGCCAGGAGUUUGGGCCUUAGGGCCCAAAUAAGUUGAUUGUGCCAACCCGACCAAGCCCAACCCAAUUGCCACCCUUCCUCAUUAUGUAAUCGAUAUAUUAGGUAUGAGUGGAAUAAUCCAAUUUAGUAAAAAUUUAACCAUUAACUUUAUUUUAUUUUUUGCUAAAUUUUUUGGAUCUAUAUUAUUAAACCCGAAUUGUCAUUUAUAUUCCUACGAGAAUCCCUCUGCAGCCCGGAGUUUGGGCCUUAGGGCCCAAAUAAGUUGAUUGUGCCAACCCGACCAAGCCCAACCCCCUUCGUCAUUAUGUAGUCGACAUAUUAGGUAUGAGUGGAAUAAUCCAAUUUAGUAAAAAUUUAACCAUUAACUUUAUUUUAUUUUUUGCUAAAUUUUUUGGAUCUAGAUUUUUAAACCAAAAGUGUCAAAUAUUAUUUAUAUAUUGAAAUAUAUUUUAAUUUUGUUAAUUUUUUUGGUUGAAUAAUUUUAAGUUUGUUAAUUAUGUUAAUUUAAGAAGUUUAGUUUCCAAUAAAAAUAAUUUUCUUAAUAUGAAUAUUAGAAAUCAUAUUUACCUUUAUUCCACCCUCCCAUGAAAUAACUUUGUCCGGUUUAUAUCCCUAUUAUAUCUAACUUUAUCCUAUUUUGAGCAUGCAUCAAACAAAGAAUAAGAUAAAUUUUAUCAUAUCUUGAAUUUUAUCAUGACUGUCAAAUGCAAUCAAGGUUUUCUAUCUAUUGUAUUUUUUGCAUCAAAUUCUUAGUGGUAGGUCUCAUUAACGCUUUUCCGAGAUUCGCUUGAGGCACAUUUGUAACACAUGUUAAUUGUGUAGCUAUUAAUGUUAUGUUGAUGACGUUUUCUACGAGGCAACUUCAAGCAUAACUUGCUUUUUGGUUACAUGGUCCUUUCCAAUUUGCCCUUAUUUGUUUCAUUCUUUUUGUUAAUCAUCGUGUUAAAUCUUGAUUUGUUUUAACAAAUUUGACAGAUAAAGAGCCUCUUGGGAACAAAGGCUGAGUGGAUGUACUAUAUUCUCAAGGCAUUUAAUGCUGGUGAUUUGCAACGCUAUUGACAACUAUGUCAUGUACACAAGGCUACUCUCAAUGCACAACCUGGUUUGGUCGAAAAUGACAAAACUAUUGGAGAAAAUCAACAUUCUCUGCCUAGUGGAAAUCAUAUUCAGGUCUCACUUUCAAUUCUUUUCUUAUCUCCAUUUCUGUCAUACUUAUUUUUUCACAUUUUGCAUUAUAACUGUGUAUUCCUCCACAUAUAAAAUAUACAAUCUUAUCCUACAGCCAUGCAUCAGAAGAUAGGACAAUUCCACCCAGCGUUAUUGAUGAAAGCCCAAAGUCUUUUGUGUAGCUCAUGUUGAGCACCUUCUCAUGAAGAGCCUUUCUGUAAGUUUUCCUGAUUCUUUUGUAUUUCCCUUGGUGGUUGUGUCGUGCUGUUUUCUAUGACAUUGGAUGAGUAGAUUGGACGUCAUCAUUAUUCUGGCUGUGUGUAUAUGAUCCUUCUCUAGUUUAGAGUUCAUUUGGUUAUAGUUUGACUUAGCCUUAUGGUGCAGCUGUAUACACGAAGCUUGAAGACAGAAUGAACUUCAUCUGGAUAGAUUAGUGGUUUAGAUGUUUCAAAAAAUGAAUAAUUGAUAGUCAUACGGAUGGGUGGAAGCUUUAUACCUAAUUAAGAGAGCAUAAAAGAACCACUCUUUUUUCUCCUUGGUCUGAUCCCACAAACACAUGGGCAGUGAAAAACUUUUGUUCUUCGCUAUUUCUCUUCAAUUCUGGUUAAUCUCAAAGUCCAAGUAGAGGGAACAGUGCAUGUUUCCUGGGUCCAACCAAGAGUUCUAGGCAUUCUGCAAUUUAAAUCCGUGUGAGAUCAGUUGGAUGGUUGGCUGGACAAAGUACACACUGCUUUUCUAUCCGUUGAAGCAGAAACACCUGAUCUCGUCACUGUGUAAUCUUAUGUUGCUUUCACCUCCGCCAAUUGUAACAUCCCUUCACUAAGUUUGCCGACCAAAGCGAAAGGAGGUGAAAGAAAAAGAGACAAGUGCGAGGCAGUUGGGCAUUUUGUCCAUACCUGGACUUCUUUCUGUGUCUCUAAGUUUUCUUCAAUCAUUUUUUGUUGCAAGUGGCUGUCUCGUGCGCUUCAGGGGAAUGUUUUCAGCAGUCGAUUAGAGACUUAUUUAUUAGGUUAAAGAUGAUCAUUUACUGACUAAAGACAGACAUCAGAAUGUGCGAGAAGAAUCUCAUUCGAUAUUCCUAAUAUGAUUUGCGUCAUGUAUGAAUUGCUUAUUAUAAAUUCAAAUGAACAUGAAAUUCAUUGUGCCAAUUGUCUCACUCCCGCGUGCGUGCACUCGCAUUGCUGGUACUUCUUAGGGCAUAUGAUGCCACUAUAUAUAUAUAUAUGCAUGCUCCAUGGCCUUGAGUUCUUCACGGUUGACAACGGUUCUCACUCUUGUGCGCGCACAUAAUGCUCGUGCUUCUUAUGGCAUAUAUGGGUGGACACUGUACAUAUCUGCAUACUCCAUGGCCAGCAAAGUCGAUGUAUGAGAGCCAUGCCAUAUGAUACCAUUUGCAUUCCCCGCUAUCGGCAAUGGACAAGUGGGAGUUGUCCUAUCAUAUUGUUCCCUUAAUUAGGGCAAUUCGUGUCUCAAAUUCGAUGAAUUUCUUUCUUGCUGCAGUUUUGUAGCUAUCCUAUUUAGCAUUUUUUUUUUAAAGCUAUUCAUACCCUUCCAAUAAGGCGACACCUACUUGAAAUUUCAGAUCUGAUUCAGUGGUAUUAUACCAGCCAACUAGCACUUCAAAAACUGCUCAAAACCCUUUUGCCUUGUGGAGAUUCAAUAGGGUAUGGACACUUAGCUAGAGAAUAGAUUGCAACGCAAACACAACGAAAUUACUCGCACUUGGAAUUAAAAGCAUAGUGAAGAACUAUAGGCUACUAUGUAGAUAGAACUACAGAGGAGAAAGAUCCAGAAAAGAAAAGGAAAUAGGGGGAAUUCCCUUAACUAAAAAUACACUUUAAUCUCCUCUUUUUUGUAAAAGCAAUUUUUGUAAUUCUUUUGAUUUUAUGAUAUUUUUCUAUUUUUCAUUUUCUUUUCUCUCUUCUCUUUUCAUUUUUCCCUUUUUCCAUUUGCCAACCAUCCACGAGGCCUAUGUAUGAAUACAAAUAGCUCGUGAAUAGAGACCUGCAUAUUUAAAUUGUAGUCAAGAUUGAAGUUUGAUUUGACUAUAUAUAUUUAUAGAUUGCCCUUUCCAACCAAAACCAAAAACACUCAAAUCAAAUACGUAACUUCCAAACCUUUAAGAAACAUCUUAUGAGUAGAUUAUUGACAUGUUUUCGAAUAGUUUAAGAAUCACAUAGGUUAAGGGUUUGUGUUGUGGUGCUAUACUCUCAAUAAUCAAAGAUCAUUCUAACUUGCUAGACUCCGACCAAUCUCAUAGCAUCACACUCAUAAGUACCUAUGUAGAGAGAUAUUAGGGAACAAAGUCGCUUGAGAGAGAGAGAGAGAGAGAGAGAGAGAGAGAGAGAGUAUCGGCUACUUAGACGAUAGAAUCGGGAGAGUGACUUACACAUAUGGAAACUUGGUCAUAAAAUCGAAUAAUUAUUUUUUUUCCAUGCUAGUUCAAGAAAAUGAGCAUAAAAUAGUGGAUUUAGUUCAAAAUGACCUGAUUCCAAAGCAAAAGAAUGGAGACUCGAAGAAUCACAAAUUUUGUGUUUUCAGUUUCCUCAACUAAGCACUGUAGGCUUGUUGAUAUUUUAUGAAAGUGGGCUAAACGGUGGUGGACAAAAUGAAAAAAAGAUACAGGAACUUCAAUGGUUGCUUUUCUAGGCCCCCGAGGAAGUUGAAAUAGCAUCAAUUCUUCGAGAUUGAUGGCUGCAACUCUUCAAAGAUGCAGGCUUCAAAAGCCCUGACUCUUCAAGGACAGAGUGGAAACUCUUCUAGGUUUUCAAGGAAUUUGAACUCUUUAAGGUUCUGGAGAGUUACACUAAGCAAAUUUCAUGAAUGAAAUUUGGUCUAUAAUUUAUAGAGACUCAUUGACCUUUUAUAUCAAAACAAAAGAAGAGUAAGAGGCUAGACUCAAACAUAGAAACUAAUAGUCAUUAAUGUACGUAGAAACUAGAAGCUAUUAAAAUUGAAACAAUAUUUACCAAUGAUUUUGCUCGCCCCAAAGUGCCUUGAUGCAAGUUUUAAUGUUUGAGAAAUGACAAAGUCUUUAUGACAAAACAGAGUGUCAUUGAUAUUGAAUGCAUGCUAAUCUUCUUGGUUGAACAAGUUGGUCCUGAAUAUUGGCUACAUCAAAGAGAGAGAGAGAGAGAGAGAGAGAGAGAGAGAGAGAGAGAGAGAGAGAGAGAGAGAGAGAGAAAGGAGCUAUUUCCCUCCAAUGAUGAUAAUUCUAUUGACAACUCCUAUAUGAUGUAAGAGAUAUAACUUUUGGGGAAUUAAAGACACUUUAUUGAACCUUUUUCAGGAUAUAUAAAUGGGUUAGCCAUCAUAUAUUGUUGGGAAAAGUGUUAAAAAAAGUCCUAAACCUUUUGUAUUUAUGUCAAUUUAGUUCUAAACCUUUUUUGGUGCCAAUUUAGUCCUAAACCUUUUUACUUAGUGCCGAUUCAGUCAUUUUCGACCAAUUUUCGCCAGAUCUUGCUAACUAGACGCUGAUUGGCUAACAUGGCCUGAUUGGUGCUGAUGUUGACAACUUUUAAUAAUAUUUUAAUUUUUUUUUUUCUUUUUUUUUUCUUUCCCUUCCUCUAACCUGUCGCCAGACCUUGGCGACUAGCCAAAGGCAACUGUUAGCGAGGUCAACCUCACUAGCCACCUUGCCAGAUUUGGCAAGGGUGGAGCCUCACUGGCCAUGGGGUCGAGCCUCACCCAUGGCCAGCGAAGCUCGACCUCGCCAGCGCCACCCAAAUUCGGCGAGGGUGUGCCUCACCGCACUGCCCAGGCCGCAAUUUGGCGAGGUCGAGCCUCGCCAGCCCGACGCUAGGUCGAAAGAUCUGGCGAGGUCUAGCGAGGUCGACCUCGCCGGUCGUCGGCUCUGGCCAUUCGCCGAGGUCUGGCGAUUGGCUGAAGGAGGGGAAUGAAAAAAGAAAAAUAAAAAGAAAAAUAAAAAUAUUCAAAAAUAUUAAAAUAUUGUUAAAAAUUGUCAACGUCAGCACUGAUCAGGCAACGUCAGCCAGCCGGUGUUCAAUCAAUAAAAUCCGGCCAAAUUUAGCCGGAAAGGACUGAAUCGGCACUAAGUAAAAAUGUUUAUGACUAAAUUGGCACAAAUACAAAAUGUUUAUGACUUUUUAAACACUUUUCCCUACAUCGCUUCAUCUAGGACAAUAUAGAUUAUUAAUUAUGUCAUUUUGUGAGUUCAUUUCAAACUGAAUCGCAGUUAAUUGACUCAGCCAUAUUUAAAAGAACUAACUUGGAAAAAAUAACGAAAAUGGACGUGUCCUCAUCGGAGGACUCAAAGCAGCAAUUCUAAGAAACUCUUAUAUACUUUUAUGUCAUGUACAGCCUUUUUACGUAUUUUUUGAAUUAUAAUUAUAUAUAACAUUGCGAUCAAGUGAUUUUUCUGAAUUUGACGCCAUCGCGUUUUAGUUAAUUGACAUUGACUAACCGGUGUGGAUCCAUCCUAUGCGAAGACUAUGUGCUAACUGGUUUUGGAAAGUAAUAUUCAAUAUAAUCAUUGUACCUAAAACAAUAUGUGGAAAUGUAAACGCAAGAACCACCCUCCGCAAAUGUACAGCGACUAUUGAAGGCAGUCUCUAAGGAAAUAAAAUUACAUAAACAAGGCAGAUAGCAGCAAAAAGAGACGGAGAUCUUCCAUGGUUUAGAAGUGAUGGUGGUGCUUCUUGCCAUGAUGAGACUCUUUAUCUUUUUUCUUGGCCUCCUUCCUCUCGUGGUGCUCGUGGAAGGCGAACCCGACAGCCCCGACGGCAGCGGCGGCAGCUAUUUCCUCCUCUAUCUUGUGCCGGUGAGCGUGCUCCGGGUCCUUCUUGGCCUUAUGCUUCUCAUGCUGCAUUUUGCACAUCAUUAAUCAGGAAUUGCGUGCACGAAACAAAAUGAGUUAAGGUAAAGAGGAAAAAAAGAGUUCUCUAUUAUGUCUACUUUUUUUUAUACAAGCUCUGAGCAUGGGAUAAGUUCGAGAAAAAAAUUUAAUUUAUUCACUUUGAAAAGAAGUAUUUAAUCAUGUAAAUAGUGCUAUGGAUUACAACUAUGUUUUUUUGUUUAAGCCGGAAAUCUUAUUCCUCUAGCUAAUGGGUGAAGGAAAUCAAUUAAAUUCAAACUAUUAUUCAUUUAUAAGGAUCAUCCAUUCUCGCAUGGCAUGCCAUUAUCAUGUCGAGUUGAAAUAUGUGAGUUUAAUCGAGAUAUUUUGCAUCCAAUACUCGUGAAUAACCUGAUGAUUCAGGUCAAUAAGGUGAAAAUGCAAAUUUUAUCUAAAUUAUAAAAUGGGAAAAGAAUUGAAAAGAAGAUGAUAAUUAUUACCAAGGCAUAAGCACCGGCAGCGACGGCACCGAGCUCACCAAGCUGCUGGAGGUGCUUGUGGUGCUUCUCCUCCUUCCUGUAAUCAACCGUAGGCUCCGUGAAGACGACCCCAGGCUCUGUGAAGGCAUCAUCCUUCUUGUGGUGGCUGCGGUGGUGGUGGUGGUGAUGGUGGUGUCCUUCGGCCAUGGUUGGAGGUUUUUUUUUUUUUAGGAAUACUAGAAUUGACGAAGGAUCAG